Molecule: long non-coding RNA, 70606 nt
Filed under: Brassica rapa (field mustard)
Lineage: Eukaryota; Viridiplantae; Streptophyta; Magnoliopsida; Brassicales; Brassicaceae
Description: long non-coding RNA (BRAP_LNC002386)
Source: RNAcentral
AGAAUGCGAAUUCUAGUAAUUGUAAAGAUCACUACUUUACUUUUGAAUGCAGUUUAUACUUUUACGAAGUAUUCUAAAAUUUUGGGUAUGCGAAAUCUAAACUUAACACGAAGGUCUACAAAAAGUAGAAAUUGUAUUCAGAAUUUUUGUCAUAGUUCUACACAGUGUAGAAGGUGCCUUCUACGUAUAAAAAACCAAUUUUUCAAAAAAUUAAGGAAAUUUCAGUUAAAAAAUAUUCUAAUAUCCUAAAACGUGUCCUAGGCGAUUUUCUUUGUCAAAAUAUAAAAAAAACGAUUUUGGCUUUUUUUUCUUCAUCAAUCUAUGAUUUCUCCAUAGUUUUUCUUAUGAUUUACAAAAAACUAUUGUUCUAUGAUGCAUAUCUAUACAAUAUGUGGUGUUUGGGAAUUUAGUGUAAGCACAUGAUGAGUUUUUUUGGCUGACGAUAAAGGGGAUAGGCUACUUUAUUGGAAUCAAGUUUUACCUUAGAGGAUUUUAACAGAAUAGUUUUGGAGGAUUUUAGAAACCAAAUGCAAUUAGGUUACAGGAUAUUUUUGAUCUGUGUCGUAUGUUCUUUUUUUUUUAAAUUGUUUUUACAUUUUUUUCCUUUCUAAAACACUAUGGGAUUACCUUAUUUUUUUUUAUCUUUUUCCAUUAAACUUUUUAAAAAUGGUUUUAAUUUAUGUUUAAUUUGAUUAAGGAAAGGUUAGUUUUGGGAUUAUGAAAAAUAUUAUACUAUAGAGACAAUUUAGUGAUAGUUUUAUACCAUAUGGACAACUAUGUUGUUUUUUUGAUCCGUUUUGGCAAAUUUCCCUAAAAACUUGUGAUAUCAUGAUUUAUUUUUUAUAUGAUUCCUUCAGUUCAUAGUGGUGUGUGUCAAUCAGAUGAUACAAAUUUACUGUGAAACCUUUGGGAUUCCAAACUACUCCAUUGUUCCACAAAUAUAGGCUUUUUAAUAUUUUUACACAUAAUAAAAAAAACACAUUAAAUUACUGUAGAACCUAAAAUCUACACUAAGUAUUUGAUAGUGAUUGGGGUUUGAUCUAGGGAAGACAAAUGAUGUAGGCAACGAUCUUUAGAAUACAACGAUGUUAAACAGUUUUCAGUAGGCAAAAAUUGACAUUAUUGAUGAAUAAGAUCGAAUCCAAUGAGUUGAACUAGAUCGAGUGAUACAAAUGAGACCCGUAAAGAAAGAGUCUAAGAUCGGGAGGAAAACAAGGUCGAUAUUAGUGUGUAGCUCUCUCUAGGGUUUUCAACGUGUCCUUCUUCAUGUACCUUCUCCUUUCUUUAUAGUGAGUCGAAUUCGUGAUCUCCGUAGCUGCUCCGCGACCUCUGUAACUGCUCAGCGGUCUUCGUAACUGCUCCGCGAUCUCUGGGGCCUCGACUUCUUAGCUUCUGAGCUCGAUUGCUUGCUACGGGCUUUGGUUCCUUACGGCCCAUCACUUUGAUCGGGGCCUAUUAACGUAUUGACAUGAAUUGAGUCCAAUAAUUACCAUAAUAAAUGUAAUAUAUAAUUUUCAAUUUUCAAUCAAUUUUUUUUUUAAGUUUACAAUUUUUUCAUAGAAAACAUAAAAAAAAUAUAUCUUUGUGAAACAAUUUUUUUUCUAAAAAAAUCAAUUUUUGUGAAACGGAGGGAGUAAAAUUUAACAAGUGGCAUGAGUUUGGGGUCAAUAAGAUGCUUUGGUCGAGACGAACUAGAAAACCAUGAUGAGCCUAUUGCAUUAAGUGCUGUUGGUUAAUUAGAGGUUCGCAUAUGCAUAAACCAAUAGACAUAUGUAUAAACUGAACUAAGACAUAUAUCUAAUAAAUGGUGUAGAGAAUACAAAAUCCUCAGGUGGGAAAUUCAAACAGAGGACAUCGAAAGGUAUAUAUAGACUCUAUACAAAAAUGGUAGUAUGACUUAGUGGAUAGUGUUUUUAGUUAGAGCAAUAGGAUUGAAGUAGAACAAAAACAAAGAAGCAUGCCCUAGAUUCCUGAGAAUAAUUAUACAUUGUUGUUUAUAUAAGGGAAUGGAAUAUGACACAUAGAUUUGUUUAUUUUUACGGUUUAAUGUAAAAAACAAGAUAAAAAUAUGAGAAAAUCAAAUAUAGUAAAUGAAGAAGAAGAGAAAAGGGGAAAUGGUUGCAGAGAAUGGAGAGAUGUUAGGAGGCAAAGCAAAUGGGGAGCUUUGAUGAUGUUGAUGCACGCCGUCAGCUUUUCUUCACGCCUGCUCCCACUCACUCACACCUAUAAACAUUCUCUCUCUCUCUUUCCUCUCCUCUCUGUUUUAUAAAUGAUAUUCACACAUGUCUCUAUGUUAAUGCUAUAACAUGUGUUUAUGUACCAAGAUAUCUUAUAGUUAUUAUACAAAAUGUUAUGAGCCCCUCAAACAAUAUUUCAAAUGGUCGUUAUUUACUUGUUAUAUCUUUUGAAAACUGUUAUACUUGAUGUAAAUUCGUUCUGUGGAUUGAUGUCAAGAACUCAGAACGUUCUUAGAAAUAUAUAUAUAUAUAUUCUAAGACUACAAUAGUACUAGCGAGUAUGUAGAUAUAACAUAACAGAAGAGUAUUGAAAUAUUGAUAUCGCAUUACAUAUUGUUGACAGGCUGUUAUCAUUAGUCGCCGAUUGUCUAAAUUUUUUUUUUUUUUUAAAUUGGGUGAUUGGUUGGAUUUGAUAUUAUAACUAGGAGUCAAUGAGACUUUUAUUUUCAACUUUUUUUGGCCUGCUGAUUUAAAAUGUAUCAAGAGUAUUCUUUUUUUUUAACAACACUUAGGAUGGUACUUGAACAACUUUGGUUUCAUGUAUUUGGCCUAUUUAUAAACAAACAGCGUAUUAUAUACGGCUUUUUGGAGGAAAACUUCACCAUGUAAUUAAUAUAACUGUGUAUCAUUCAUGUCGUUUUCAAUUAUCUAGGUGUCCAGAAUCACAUAUUCAUGUACAUAUAUGUGAGUUAUGAACGAUCCACGCAAUUACAGUAUUGCAUGAGAGACAAACAGAUAGAUGUGCUAAAAAUGUAGAAGAAGAAAUAAAAGGGAAGGUUACUUGGGUGGAUCGAUGUGAAAAGGAAAAAGCAAAACCCACUAAGCCAUUACAUGAUAUCGACCUUCUUAUCUUUUUCUUCUUUACUUCGUAACUUUUUUUAAAUCACAUUUUCUUUCGUCGGUACCUUUUCUAAUUAAUUAAAUCUCCAAACUAUCUAAAUAAUCCAUUUCCCUGAAAAUAAAGGAUUUAUAUAAGCUAUACUUACAUAAAUUGUGAGCAGAUUGUAGGGAAGUGGCAAAUCCCCACUAAAAAUAACUACAGAUUUUUUGUAAAAAUACAAAACUAGUAGGAUCAUUAUGUCCAGAAUCGAGAAUGUUAAUAAGAACAAAAACAAAAACAAUAACAUUCUUGAUUAGCCAAAAGGAGAAAACGAAUGAAAAAUUGAGGGAUAAUGGAACUGUUUGACUAAGGCCAAUAAGAAUUGGAUAACUCCAGUGGGCAAUUGUUUUAAAAUAACCAGUCUCUUCUCUCUCUAAGUAUGUUACAGUGAAAAACAAAAUUAUGUUUUCACUAAACCCAAUUAAGUUCAAACAUUCUAUUAAGUCCAAAGAAUAAACAUGGGACAACAAUUCGAUGCAGAAAUAUCAUCUUUUCAUGCUCCUUUUUCUCUUUAAAUUUACUAAUUAUAAAACUCACAAAACCAACAAACCCACUCUCUACAACUCAUCUUCUUCAAAGAUUCACCCACUCCCACCGAGGAAAAAAGAAGAAAAAAUAUAUAUAUACGUGCACCAAACAACACAUGAUGCUGAUGCAAUAUACACAACAAAGUAUUAAAUCUUAGAUAUUGUGGGUCUCCCAUCUCUCUUCUCUGUCCUCUAUUCAUUUUCUUAUUCCAUAUUAAAGAAAAAAGAUGGAUACUCUCUUUAGACUAGUCAGUCUCCAACAACAACAACAAUCCGAUAGUAUCAUUACAAAUCAGUCUUCGUUAAGCAGAACCUCUACCACCACUACUGGCUCUCCACAAACUGCUUAUCACUACAACCACAACAACUUCCCAACAAACGACGUCGUCGAAGAAUGCUUCAACUUUUUCAUGGAUGAAGAAGACCUUUCCUCUUCUUCCUCUCAUCACAACCAUCACCACACCAAUCCUACUAGCUACUACUCACCUUUCACUACUCCCACCCAAUACCAUCCCGCCACUUCAUCAACCCCUCCCUCCACCGCCGCCGCAGCCUUGGCGUCGCCGUACUCCUCCUCAGGCCACCACAAUGACCCUUCCGCUUUCUCCAUCCCUCAGACUCCUCCUUCCUUCGACUUCUCAUCCAAUGCCAAGUGGGCUGACUCCAUCCUCCUCGAAGCCGCACGUGCCUUCUCCGACAAAGACACCACACGUGCGCAACAAAUCCUCUGGACGCUCAACGAGCUCUCUUCUCCCUACGGAGACACCGAGCAGAAACUCGCUUAUUACUUCCUCCAAGCUCUCUUCAACCGCAUGACCGGUUCAGGCGAGCGUUGCUACCGAACCAUGGUAACCGCAGCAGCCACAGAGAAGACUUGCUCCUUCGAGUCAACGCGGAAGACGGUCCUCAAGUUCCAAGAAGUUAGCCCGUGGGCUACGUUUGGACACGUGGCGGCAAACGGAGCUAUCUUGGAAGCAGUUGACGGAGAAGCAAAGAUCCACAUCGUUGACAUAAGCUCCACGUUUUGCACUCAAUGGCCGACGCUUCUAGAAGCUUUAGCCACGAGAUCAGACGACACGCCACACCUGAGACUAACCACGGUCGUGGUCGCUAAUAAACACGUCAAUGAUCAAACAGCAACGCAUCGGAUGAUGAAAGAGAUAGGAAGCCGCAUGGAGAAGUUCGCUAGGCUCAUGGGAGUUCCUUUUAAAUUCAACAUUAUUCAUCACGUGGGAGAUUUAUCCGAGUUCGAUCUCAACGAGCUCGAUGUUAAAGCGGACGAGGUCUUGGCCGUCAACUGCGUAUGCGCCAUGCAUGGGAUCACGCCACGUGGAAACCCUAGAGACGCUGUGAUAUCGAACUUUCGAAGGUUGAGGCCUAGGAUCGUGACCAUAGUGGAAGAAGAAGCUGAUCUUGUCGGAGACGAAGAACAAGGGUUUGAUGAUGAGUUCUUGAGAUCUUUUGGAGAAUGUUUACGUUGGUUUAGGGUUUGUUUCGAGUCGUUGGAAGAGAGUUUCCCGAGGACGAGCAACGAGAGGUUGAUGCUCGAGCGUGUGGCGGGACGUGCUAUCGUCGACUUGGUGGCUUGUGAGCAUUCGGAUUCGACGGAGAGGAGGGAGACGGCUAGGAAGUGGUCGAGGAGGAUGAGGAACGGAGGGUUUGGGGCGGUGGGGUAUAGUGAUGAGGUGGCCGAUGACGUCAGAGCAUUGUUGAGGAGGUAUAAAGAAGGUGUUUGGUCGAUGGUGCCGUGCUCUGAUGCCACCGGAAUAUUCCUUUGCUGGAGAGAUCAGCCGGUGGUUUGGGCCAGUGCGUGGCGGCCAACGUAAAAGGGUUGGUCUUUUCUAGUAUUUUCACGCGCGCGUUUGCUGGUCGAGAUGGUUUCACACGUAUGGUUUGAUAAUGGGGUUUUGGGAUGAAGAGUUACUAUAUGAUGAUAAUGAGUUCAUAAUUUGAAAUUUGCUUUUGAAUAGGACUAAUUAAAUCAUAAUAUUGAGGAGGCGAUUGUCAAGGUUCAUAAAUUCGUGAUAUUUUAUUUUGUUUUUAAUAUUUUUUCUUUUAAAUGUUGUGAUUAGUUUGAUUCAUGCGAAAGAAUAGGGUUCUAUUUUCCUUUAUAAUGGAGUUUUUAUUUUCCAUACACAAGAAGUUAUCGUGAUUAAUUUUUUUUUUAAACUAAGUGAGCGUUUGAUAUGAGUUCGUUACUGUUACAUUGGAAUCAAUUAACUGGAAUUCAUAAUUGAUAAAAAUAUAAAAGACUAAAAUUGGCAGCUUUUCAGAUUCAAUUAGAAGUUAUACGAAUUGAGGUAUAUAGUUAUUCCAUGUUUCUAAUACAUAAAAGCUUUGUUGCUUUCUUGUAUACAUAUAUAGAAUCUCAGGACAGCUAGUUUCGCUGAGGAGGAAUCUCUUCUUUGGAAUAUCGAGAAUGCAGCUCUAUGGUGGCCUGCACGCUUCUAAAAAUGGAUUAACAUAUUUUUGAUCAUUUAUAAACGUAACAUAAACAAAGUUAGAACAUUGUGGUUUCGAUGGCAUCUAAUUUGAAACAUUAGUCACUUUAUAAUAUUAGUGGCAACUGUACCGGCUAAAAUAUAUACAUGCAAUGCAGUGAAUACUGCACCAUAGUAUUUCAAUGUUUUAAGUGUUUUUUACAGUUCUUACGGUUCACAUUCUGAGGCAUGGUAUGUAUACCAAAUAAACAAAAGAAAAUCAACGUUUCUUACACGACGAUUAAUCACUCACCAAAUGAUAGUUUAUUCACUUGUCGCUCUUGUGGAGUGUAUACCAUUUAUUUCUAUUGGCUUUUUAAUAAUGCAUCUUUCAACUUUUGCUUUAUAAAAAGAUAAAGGGACCAGUCUUUUAUUUGAUACACAUAAUACAUCUAUACAUAUAUUAUGUCUUCAGUGGAUUACACAUGCAUAUACCUAAAUGUUUCAUGGCCCCCCUUACCCAUCAUGUUUUUAUUUAGAAACAGCCCAUAAAAAGUAAAUAGUUGAAAUAGUUAUAAUCCAUUGAUAUACCAUCAUUUACAUAUAUAGUUCUUUGAAUUUGAGAAAGAAAAUAAAUUAUGAAAAAGUAGUGGGAACUGCUUUUGAGAUAUGUGGCUAGUUUCACUACAGCUCUCUUUCUCCCUGCAUCUUUUGAUGUGGCUUUUGCCUCCCCCAUGUUAAUAUUGGUAGAUCUUUUAGCUUCGCUUUUUAAGCUAAUCUUUUUUCAAAAACCUAGCUUCUUUUGGUCUGUUUUCGUGUUUAUAAAGUCAUGCAGAAAGCAAAUCAAUACAAUAAAAAUCUACCAGUUGGCCCAAUUUUGCUUUAACUAGAAUCAAAACCUUGUUGGGUCCCUUUAUAUAUAUACCACGACUUGACCAUAACACACAUCUAACUAGAAAAUGCCUAAAUUCAUAGGGAAUAUCUCAAUUAAUUCCAUGAUGUAAAAGGUUAUAAAAAUUUAUAGGGUUCUUUUAAACACAAUUCAUAAUAAAUCAGCCUAUUGUAAAAAUUAAAAGCUUUAUUUAGGUAUAGAGAAAUGAAAGGAAAUAACACAUUUGUAUUAUAUAACUAAGAGGAAUGAGCUUUGGUAAAAUCAUAUAAAGAAGUAGGUUUAUAAUCUUUUGUGAAAAAAUGAUUUUACUAAAAUAUACAGUCUCAGGCUUCUUGAAACCAUCAUACUUAUCUUUAAAGUUUGUACAAUAUUUCUUCUCUUCUUUGUAGAUCUGCAAGAGUUUUCUUCUCACUUCAUAAUCAUAACUAGAUUUUGAUCCGCGCAGGCGCGCGGGUGUAUAUUUUGAAAAAUAUGUUAAUAUUUGUUUUUCAUGUAAUUAUUAGGAUUUGGAUGAAUCCGAGGAACAUAACCGAUACCGAUCCAAAGAUAUAGUACCAAACCCAAACAUAAAUUGAUUAAAUAUUCUAAUUAUUCAAAAUUUUGUUAUUUAGAGAACCGAAUCUGAUCCGAACCGAAGUAUUUGGGUAUCCGAAUUUAUCUAAAAAUAAAUUUAUAUACUUAUAUAUAUUAAUUAUUUUUAGAUUUAACGUAUAUAAAACAUCAAAAAUGAUACUUUUAAAUUGGUUUAAAUACUUGAAAAUAUAUAUAGAUAGUCAAAAGUAAAUAUCUGAAAUAGUUAAAGUAUACUCAAAUCACCAAAAUACUUAAAAUAAUUAUUGAUUUCGUAUCCAAAAUUUUAAAUCAAGCCAAUUGAUAUGUUAAGCUUAAGUAUUAUGACAUAUGUUAUUCAAAUUUAUACGUAAUAUAUUAUUUUAUUUAUACAUUUUGAGAAAUUUAAAAUAUAUAAUGAUUUAAGACUUUAAAAAUAAUUUAAAUUAGUUAUCCAAACCCAAACCAAACCCGCAAAGAUACAAAUCGAACUCAAACCAAAAUUUAGAAACAUUCUAAUAAGGCUGAAAUCUUUGAUCCCGAAAACCCAAAAUACAAACCGAUCAGAACUAAACUCGUAUGGGUAUCCAAAAGCCCAUCCCUAGUCAUUAUUAUAUAUCGUAUUUUAUCAUCAUAUAAUUAAUCAUAUUUUAUAUGUACCAUCAUAUAAGUAAUCAUAUAAUUAAUAGUAUUUUAUACAUACCAUCAUAUAAAUAAUUACAUAUAUUAUAUUUUUAAAACUUAAUAUGAAAUAUGAAAACCAUAAUUUGAGUUGGUAUUUCAAAUUGGGCUUUGUAUUAUAUUUUUCUUAUAUAUAUUGACAAUAUUUUUUUAUAAUGGUUAUUGAAAAAUAGUUUAGUAAAAAUCCAUUUUUGAAUAUAUGUAUAUUUUUGAAUCAAUUUUUGAUAUAAAUCAAAUUUGAAUUAUUAUUUUGAUUUGAAAUAUGUAUAUAAAGUUUAAAUUUUGUUUUAUGGUUAGUUUAGAAAAAAAAAUUUUAGGGAAUUAGAUUGACCCAUAUUGGUAUAUUUUAAAAGUAGCCUAGAUAACUUUCAAUUUUUAAAAAAAACAUAAGCCCAUUACUUUUUUUCUUAAUACUACUAUCCUUGUUUUCAAACAAAAAUAUUUUUUUUUAAAAGACUGCAAUCCAUGUUUCCAAACACUCCAAAUUUUUAAAAGUCCUAUUCAAGUCUCCAAACACUCCAAUUUUGUACUUGAGUUUUAAUAAGAUAGAUUAAUGAAAUAGGUUUUUCCAGUUCUUUCAAAUGGGUUCGGUUUGCUCUGGGGCAUCCCCUUUUAUAUUCGCUGACGUUGAUUUCUCAAUGGGCCUCGUUAAAUGGGCCACACGCAGCCCACACGAUUUUAACGAACAAAUGAAAUGAAAUGAAAUCAAAACGGACGGAGAGAAAACCCUAGCACCGGCCACAAUGCGAUCUCCGAUCUCCGGGCUCUUCUCGAGAUCCAUCAGCUUCCUCCACCGCACCUCCGCCACUCGCCACCUAUGCGCCGUCUCUUCCCCUGAAGCUAGAACGAAGAACCUCGAGCGAAUCGCCGACGACUUGCUAAACCUCAACAGAAUCGAGCUCUACGACUACUCAGUCCUCUUCAGCCACAAACUCGGCCUCAACCGCUACGGUUCCGCCGUUUCCUCCCCCGCCGGAGACCUCCCCGACGCAUCCGCCUCCGCCGAGACCAAAACCGCCGAGAAAACGGCUUUCGAUGUGAAGCUUGACAAGUUCGAUUCCGCUUCCAAGAUUAAAGUCAUCAAGGAGAUAAGAGCGUUCACGGAGCUGGGGUUGAAAGAAGCUAAGGAUCUCGUUGAGAAAGCUCCGGUUGUAGUGAAGACAGGUGUCACCAAGGAAGAAGCUGAGAAGAUCAUGGAGAAGCUUAAAGCCGUUGGUGCCACUGUUGCUUUGGAAUAAUAGAAAUAAAAGUUUGUUUAUUUUUUAAAAAAUAAUUUACAAUAAUGAAUGAUGCUCCUCUCUUGUUAUAUUGAGAUGCCACUCUUAUCAGGUAGUAGCCUCUUCAUGUAGUACUUUGAUUUUCUAGAGAGGUUGAUUCUUUGCCUUCUGGUCUCUGGUAUGACCUCGAUUGCGCAUUCUUGGAACCCGCGUCUCACGAACCAGUCUGCUGUUCGCGUUGUGAGGAGAAACAGCGUGUCUAACCCGAGAGAGGAUGCUUUCUUCUCUAUGUAAUCUACAGUAAACAGAUUGUUGCGUGUGUGUCAUUGAUAUUUUACUUUGAGUUUGGUUUGGUUUGGUUUACUUUACCUAGUAGUUUAUCGCCUUGGCCUUGACCGCGGCAGUCUGAUGCAACCGCGAUGGCUGCAACUUCUCCGCAUUUGUCUUGGAAGAAUGGGAACAGAGCCGCACAAGCGAUGAUUUGACCUUCCCUUUCGACAACCACGAAUGAGUCCAAAGCUUGGAGUAGCUGCACUCAGAGAUUUAAGUCUUUAACGGGGGAUUGUUUAUACAAAUGAGGUGUGGGAAGAAGAUAGGGAAGGCUUUUAAGACCUCCUCAUCGGUUCUGCGGACCAAGAUCCCACCUUCCUCCAAAGGUUUGAUGAUACGUCUGAUUCCUGCAAGAUCAUCCACUUUGGCAUCUCGUGUUCCUUCGUAUACAUCACUGUAUGCAAUGUGCGGAACAGUCAGUAUAGCAUUGUAAGAACGAUAACACCAAUCCGAACAGAUGAGUAUUACCUAGCAACCAUAGUCCCCAUUCCAUCUCUUUUGAAAAGUUCCAACAAUAGAACUCCAGUUAUAGUACCAUCUAACAAGUGAACUCUUUUGACUCCACCCUUCAAGAAAAAGCAAAACAAAAUGUUUCAGUUCAAAUGGGUAAGAUGAAGACCAAGGCCCUCAUAAAAACUCACCCUGCAGACAAAAGCAGCAGCAGCCAGUUCGGAAAGAUAACCGUUUUGGCGGCUUAGUCUCUCCUCACCACCGAUAGCAAAACCUUGCUCACCAGACCCUAACCCACUCCCAAUGUCAAACCCAACACCGUUCUGAAAGAUGGGAGUGUGGUUCCCGUUUCCCCAAAACGCUGCUCUCCCGUUACCAGGAGGUUCUUGAUAAGCCAUGCUUCCAUCACCAACAGCCUUUACAUAGUUAGCAGCAAUGUCGCUUUGUUGCGCCCGUUUCCUCACCAACAUAUCUGCUUCUUGGAGUGUCAAGAAACGAAUCAGAUGUCCGCUCUCGUCAAGAAUUGGACCGUCCAUUAUGCAAAUAAGCUUAUCUGCUCCUAUAGCUAAUGCACAAGCUGUAGCUACUUCAUAGGUACUGCACAAGUAAAGAUGUGUGUCAUUUAUGAAAACAUUUCUAGAAAGUAGAGAGAGAGCAUACUUGCAGUUUAAGACUUCUCCGGAGCUAGAGUGACCCAAGUUCCUCAACAAGACUACAGAACCACCGUCAAGCCUCUCACAAAUCCGGUCUACAUCUAUCUUCUUCACUUCACCAGUCGCUCCAAAAUCAACACCAUCAACAACGCCUCUCCUCUGCACCAUCAUCAACAAACCAGUGAUGAGACUCAAGGAGUCGUAUCAUAUGAGCAUAUCAAGAAAGUUAAACUCACUUUUGCUGCGAAGAAGUUGCCGGUAUCAACCCUGACACCAAUAUCAUGCAAACGACUACUAUCACCAUGCCUACGGAUAUUGCAAAUGGAAGGUCCAGGAGAUAGUUUAGCCUCAAGCAUCACUGAGAUAGCUCCCGCAGCUUCCGUGGCAGCAACGAUGCUGCGUCGGUUACUCUAUAACGUCCCACAUAUGUAGCCUCGCGUCCUGCAACACUCAAUACACAUCAAGAAUCGAACAUCCCUAAGCCACUACUAGAGGCAAUGUUUUAUUCAUUUCUGACCUCUUUCAGACAGGAGCUGGUCGAUUUGCACUUGUGUUCCUGGAACUAGAACGAAUCUUAUCCCAAGAUGAUGAAGAAACGCUAUGUCCUGAACCAAAAUCAUAUUAAUUAAAUAAACUUUGAGAAGUGUAAUCACAUUUGCAAAAGGAUACCUUUAAAAUGGGAUCACAGUAAGGGCCGGCGAGUAUAUCGCCGGAGAUGACAACGACGAAAGUGCAGCCACCGUGGGCCCACAGAUAAGGCCAAGCUUCACGGAACCAGCGCACAAACUCUUUGUCGUCCACUGGAUGCUCAGCCUCCGCGUCGCCGCCUCCACUCGCCGCGUAGGUGUACGUAUUGCAUUUCGCCGCCACGGAACCAACCGGCUUAAACCACGGAGAGCUAAACCGGAUUUGACCAGGGUUUAACUUAUUUUCCGGCCUGAAAGACGAAAGAUCCUUCCUCGUUUGGCGUGAUUGGUAAGAGAGGUAGUAGGUGUUUGAAGAAGAAGACGCAGAACGCAACAAAGCUCCCUGCUCCAUCAUUUUUACACUACUUCUUUAGGAGAAUUCGAUUAGAUUCCAUAGAAAAUGAAUUAAACCGGCAGGAGACGGCCGCGGUACCUACAAAAAGUGGGACCCACCGUCUCGGAUUUUUACUAUUUUGUUAAUUUUAUUCUUUGCUUUUUACUUCUUUGCCGGAACUCUUUUAAAAUGUCUGGUCGUCGUGAGAGUACAUUAAAGUGUCCCCCUCGUGGAUUAAAUUGUUCGAUUCCGGUCAACCGGUUCGGUCCUUCACUCCUGGUCCUGGGGUCAGCUUCUUAGUCAAAGUGACUUCCUACACAAACAAUUGUUUAGAAAGUGGGUUUUUUCCUUCCGUUCACAUAAGUCACUGUAUCACAAAAUGGGCCUUUAAGGAAUGUCCUGGGGUAUCUUUCCGGCCCAAACUCAUUUAAAGUGUUAAUUAAGUGGGCUUUUAAGGAAUGUUGUGCAAUUGUUAUCUUUUUGGCAUAAACCCUCUUUUUUGCAUAAACCCCCUCCACACCUAUAAAGAAACUAUAAACAACCUAAGUUAGAGAAAACAGUUAUUAAAACUCUGAACUUUCAAACGAAGGAUAAAAAAAAAUCCAAUUAUAUUUAGAGCAAAAAUAUUUUUCAACUUUUAAAUAUUGGUGUUUUUUUUUGUUGACUCAACCAUUUAAAAAAUAGUCAACUGCUAAAUUCGAACGACGAGUGUUAUAUCCAAUAUGAUGUUAUUUUACAAAAUCAUUUUGUUUAAGCAAAAUUUCAAAUUGAUUUCAUCUUCCUUAUUCAAAAACCUAAUUUUCAGUUCAAUUUCAUCUUCCCCAAAUCAAUUUAUAGGCAAUCUCCGAUGAAGACAAACAGUGGUUGUGACACCCCCGAUCGUAGACGACCGGAAAUGACACGGUCGAUGAUUGUCGAUCUGAGGUUCUCAGAAUACUUCUGAUCGCCUUAGAUCAACAACCAAAGAACACCAACGCUCCUAUCGGAUAUAGCUCUAGGCUUUUCAACCCGACAAAGCAAUACCCGAUAGUUAGUUCGUCCGGACAAGGACUAAUAUCAUAUGAAACCCGUACUUUAAAAAAACAUUCUUUAUAUAUCAAUCAAAAGCAUCUUACAAAAUUUGUUAUAAAUUAACCUCGAGGUUUUCAGUCAACAAAUCUUAUACAUAAGAUAUACCAAAAUGACUUUGCAAUGAUAAUAAAACUACCGCUGGCUAAUGUUGUUCCUUCCCGUCCUAGAGUAAGGUCUCCCACCUAUUGGUUACUUGCAUCACAAAUGAGUCAUGAGUAACUAGUUUACUCAGUGAGCCUAGUCCCGCACCCCAAUAUAUAUUAAUAAUAUUUCAAGCAAUCAACUUCAUUUGUAUGCAUUGGAAAUAUAUUUCGUAUCUGGAUAUUUAUAUAUAAGGAAUAAUCUUUCAUCAUCGUGAAUCUAAUUAUAUACCUCACUUCCUAUUCCCGUCUCUCAUAUUAUUCAUAUAAUCAUAUAUAUAUAUAUAUACCAGACCCGAAAAACCACAAAGGCUAAACGAGUCUAGCGAGUUAGCAUCACCAUCAUCGCCAUCAGAUAUUCAAAAAUUGAACAUCUAACGCUGCAUGCAGUUACACGGCCUCCAGGGUGUGACCCCAUCAUCGUGUCUUCGUGACCUUGUUCCAUAUCACAGGACCAAUUCACGGCAAUCAUCAUUCAUACGGGAAUAUUUUGGAAGACAUGUUUAUAAUAAGACUUCACAUGAUUAAUACUUAUAUACUUAAUUAUAUUUAAUACUAUACAUAUGUAUUAGUACUUGAGAACAAGUAGUAAGGUUUGGAGUAAACCUCUAUGAUCAUUCAUAAAUAUUUAUUAAGUGUUUACACUAAGUAAACACCUCGCCAAUUCAAUAUUGAUCAAGAGACAAAGCCUAUCAAUCAUCUACAUUCAGUAUGUUCAAUCAAGAAAUAUUUUUUCACUACUCAUUACUCAUCUAUCUAGACUCACCUUUGAGUCUAAGAGAUUGGCUAAGGAAGACUAGACUCGAGCUCAAGCUAAUCACACUCCACUUCUUCUUCACUUCCAUAUUCAGAAUAAAGACAAGGCAUGACGGGCUGACCAUUCCAAUCUCCUCGGGUAACUGAACAAAACAAAGUUGUUGGAACUUAAGGUUCAUCAUUCCGGUUCAAAAAGAAACUCAUCUCAGCUUAUAACGUUUCAGUUUAGUUCCGCUAAUAUUAGUUUGGUACAAGACAAGUUCAGGUCUGGUCCUAAAAAAUCAGUUAAACUCAGACUAUAUCUGUUCAUGACAAGUUCAGACCAUAGACAGCUCGGCUCAGAUCAGUUGAAGACAAGAUCAAAUCAGUUUGGUUUAAUUCAUACAAUUCACAUAAGUUCAGCUACUGGUUCUAUGAUACAAAUUCAAUCAUACACCAACCAAGAGUGAACCUUAUAUGAAUUUAAACAACUGUUCCUGAUAGGUUUAUCAAGACACAGCACUUGGUUAUCAUCAAACAGAAGUAAAACAGGAGACUGAAGCUUAACAAAAACUGAUCUCAUCAAACCCAUAAGCUCUUACCGAUUCAAAUCAACAAUCUUCUGAAUUCAGAUGGUACACAACUUAUCGUUGAAGCCACUCCUAACCUGAUCAGAGCCAUAUCAAGACAAGGUCGGAUUCAUUCAGACAAAGCCUCAAGUGUUUCCAAACCAACAAAACUUCUCACUGAAAACUUAUCAAAAUACAUCUUACCGAUCAAAACCCAAAGGCUGAAGAACAUGGAUGAUUCUGAACUUUAGGACACAAAAUAUUCAGCUCUUAACCACACCAAUACUCACUGAUUAAAGUCAGAAGAGGGUGAGAAAGGGUCGUCCAAGCUCACUUCUCUUCUCUUAUUUUUUUUUCUGAAUUUUUCAUGUAUUUUCCUCGCAGAUUUUUCUCUCUUUCUUUCUCUCUUUCUCUCUGAUUUUCUUGUGGUUAUGGACGACCAGAAGAGAGAAGAUGAUGUUUGAUAACAUAAGAAGUUGUUUCAGGUGAGGGUUUUCUCCCACAAAAGACAAAGCUGAGGUUAGACAGCUGGUGACAUGCUUCAGCACACCAAGCAGCACAAGCAGCUGAACAUUUCCCUUCCAUGAAGAAAGAUACAAGCAGCUGAAGCAAACAUCUUGUGACCAGCAUGUGACUUCUAAUGAGCAAGCAGGUAAGCAAAGAGGUGCAUGUCAUGUGACCUAAUUACUGAGGAAGCAAGUAGGCUAGAAGGUGCAAGGCAUGUGACUGUUCAGAAAUAAUUUUAAGAGUUUUGUCGAUAUUUUUCGGACUGUUUCGACUAAAUAUUUUUCAUCAUUCAAAUCUCGUCCUGCUCUGAAUAAACUCGUCCAGCCUGAAUCGACAAUAAUAAUUAACACUCGACCAGAACCAUCAAGAGAUGGUUUUUCGACCAAAAGACAGCCCCGUCGAGAGAUUAAUUCACCGUGUCGAUUUUUAUUUAAAUUCUGAUCUACCAAUCGUCAAACUCAUCUUAAAGAAUUUUCUCCAGCAAAAUUCUAUCUGCUCGUGAGGGUUAUUACAGUGGUGGUUUCUCCGGAGACAGGUAGUGAUUCUCAUCAGUUUGAUAAAACUAAAUUGACCGUUUUAACUCUCGUAUGAUUAAGUUUAAAUCAGUUUUCAAAACGACGUCGUUUAAUGAGUUAACAGACGUUUACUUUUUUUAAUCGAAUUUAAAACACUUAAUUAUUCGAAUUUUUUAAAUGGCCGAAUCAAUAAAAUAUGAUGUUAAAAAUGCCAAUAUUUAAAAGUUAAGGAAUAUUUUGACUCAAACACGAGUUAAAAUUUUCUAAUUUUAUUUUUAAUUUGAAAGUUUAUUAAAUAGUUGUUUUCUCAUUUAGGUUAUGCUGUUAUCUAUAUCCCGGCUAACAAUCUCGAUUUCUUUUAAAUUGUUAUUUAUUUAUCCUUUAUAUAAAAUUUCAUAUAAUUGUUGAUGUAAAAUAGUGCAUUUAGUGUUGUUGGCAAUAAAAUUAGCAUAUUAAGUGUGAUUAACGUUGAUAAAAAGUGUAACACUACAUUUAGUUUGGCUCACUUACAGAUAAAAAAUUAAAAAGGUGGGACAAUAACAAGCAAACAGAGGAAACGAGUAGAAUAUCUCUAGGUUAUCCGAAUCAAUGUAAGAGGAAAGAUAAUAUUCCCACGAGACACCCAAAGAUACUCCUCACGGUAGAUAUUUCAUUACCUGCUACGUCUCUUUCAUAUAUGCCAUCAUGCAUAGAAGACAACUCACUAUUCAUGUUGCGACGAAAUCAUUAUUUUAUUUUUAUUUUCUCAAAGACUCGAGAACGCAUGCACGAUUGAUUGUUGGUUUGUAUAAGAAAUACCAUCUUCACGUAGCAGUCCACAAAGGCUAAAUUCGCCGAGUUCAUGAAUGUUUCAUUAAGUUUCACCUUAUUUCUUUUUUUUUGGUAAAAAGUUUCACCUUAUUUCGUGAUGACUUGGGUCGACCAUCUAUUUUCCCGCGAGAACUAUUGUAUAGUGCUAUAUGUCUCUGAAACUAUUACCUCUAUCUAUUUGUCCCCGAAAAUAAAGUUUCAUUCCUAUUUCCCCCCGAAUAUAUAGUUCGAAACCUAUUUCUCCCCAAUCAUCGAAUUAGACGGUUUACUAUCGGUUCUCGAUCUAUGAUGUAAACCAGAGCCGAAAUAAACCAAAAUACAGUCAAUUAACCAGAUCAAAACCCGACCCAUUAAAACGUGAAAACCCUCUCUGUAAAAACCUCCAAAUCGCAAAAAUCACUAAGAACCCUAACUUUUGAAAUCGAUUUUAAUCUUUGCGAAGGUGAUGGCUGGAGGUCAGAGCAACACGUCUGGAGAUUCGAGGGAUCAUCAUCUAGUCGUCGACCCUCAAGAGGUGCUGGAAGAUUUUUCGGUGUUCCUAAGAAAUGUUGGUGUGGUGAGCUAAUGGUGACAUUGACGUCCAAGUCCGACCAGAAUCCAUACCGGAAAUACUUGCGAUGUUCAUUUGCAGCAGAGAAUAAGGUAAUGUGAUUGUUUCAGAUAGUGCUUGGGAUUUUUCUUUUUGAUUAUCAGUGUUGUGAUUGUUUUUAAUUUGUAGCUUCAAAACGAUAAUCAUAUCUUUAAGUGGGUGGAGGCUUUAUUGAACGAGGUUGAUACACUUUUACUUAAAAAUGCAAGACUUGAAGAAGUGAUUAAUGAGAUGGCAUCAACGAGUGUCUUUGAGAGGACUGAAACAGAGAUAAUGGCGAGGGUUGAAGAUGCAUUGGCUGAAGCAAGUGCAAAGAUGAAGAAUACAAUGAUCGUGGUUGUGAUUGGAAGCUUGACCUUGGUUGGUAUUAUGGGAGUUAUGUGUCUGAUGAGAAACUGAAGUGUUAUGCAACUGGCUGUGUUUGUUUUCUUCAUGUGUUCUGUUUGUAUUCUUGUAGACAAUGAUUGUGUUUGUUUUGUAUUGUACGUGUUUAGGACUAUUGCAAGUUAUGAAUGUGUUUUUCUUGUUUAGUAUUAUUGAAUUACAUGGUUAUUUUCAGUCUGGAACAACGGCUUGCACAAGCAAACAAACAUAAACAAAUAAUCCAUGUGCUUUCCACAUAAAAAAAAAAAGACAAAAGAUAUUGGUUUUCACAAAAGAGUUGGAUGCUUUCUACAUAAAAAGUGCAACCCCAAUAAAAUCCACAAACCCCGAGAUAAUGUUUAGACAACAUUCUAGAUAGAUAAAGACCGAAGCACUAAUCAACACAUAUCUCCAUAUCCAAGAAUUACAUGACAUCCACCUUGAGAAGUAGUUGGUGAGGCAGUUUGAGAAGCAGCUGGAGAAGAAAUAUGAGAAACUGCUGGAGGAGGAGCUUGAGAACCACCUUGAGCAGCCUGACAAAACACAAAAUGGAGAAAGAUAAGUGAACCCUAUCCUUGAUACACACAUUAGUCGAAGAAGAAUAUAACAAACCUUGUUCUUUGUGUGAAACCUUGAGUUGUGGUCAGCCAUUCCACAUAUUCCGCAAUGCAUUAUACGUUUCUUGUGCUUAGGUUGCUUCUUUGUUGGGGAUUCAUUAACUCCUUUCUUUCUUUUCUUCUCUGCUUUGGUAAUUUUCUCCUUCCCAGGUUGUUUUGGAUCAGGAGGAAUGUGAACAUCAGGAGCACUCGUACAAGGCCAAAAAGGAGCACCUCUCACUGGAACAAGACCUUCAGCAUAGUUCCUCCUCCACAUAUCAGUACGAAACCAAUGGCAGACGAAGUUUUCUGGUGCGAGUUUCUUCUGUAACAUCACGCCAUAUGCAUGCUCGCAGAGGAUUCCACAAAUCUCGAAUUUCUUGCAAGUGCAAGUUCUCCUCUCCAAACUCACAUGGUAAGUACACCAGCCAAGCUUUACUUCAUACAUCCCAUUUGUGCUUCUUGUCACGAUGCAUUUUGAAGCAUCUUUAUGCUCGGCUGCGAGAAAAUCUACAACAUAUGGUGUACAAAUACCUGGAAAAAAAAAGAACACAGAAACACAUGAAAAAAUAAAACCAGAACAUGAAAACAUAAAAAAUAAAAAAUAAAAAACAGAACAUGAUUUUACCUUUGUGACCACGAGAGACAUCAGAACGUUUAGCAAUGCGUGCCAUUGCAAGUCGCCUAACAGUCUCAAGCAUUGGGACAAAUGGCUUCUCUCUAGCUUUUGUUAUAGUGCUAUUGAAAGAUUCAGUUGAGUUGUUUUCAACAUCUUCACAGCAACUCCCUAUCUUGUAAAAAGCUCUACACCAAGUCCUUGGCUUCAUCUUCUGAACAUCAUCAUACACUUCAGAAUCAUAAUUAAAUAUUCUGUCCAAAUUUUGUUGGAACUCUGCUUCAUUAUAGCUCCAUGCUAAACUCCAUAUAUAUGGCUUCAUGUCUGAUUUACUCCCAUGUUUCUUCUUCAGAUUACCAUAGAUAUGUCUGACACACAUUCUAUGCUCAAUCUUUGGUAGCGCUAAUGAGACACCGUAUAUCAAUCCUUAAAAAGAAACACCAUCUCAGUCCCAAAUCGUCUAACAUAAGCAGAAAACAGAAAAUCUAAGGUAUAAUCCAAACCUUUUGCUGAUCUGAAACCAAGAUAAAAUCACUGCAUCCUUCAGUCCCAAGUCGUCUCUCACUUUACUCACAAACCAUAACCAGUUGUCAUUAUUUUCGACUUGGACAACACCCCAAGCUAUCGGAUAUAUAGCAUUAUCUGCAUCUCUUCCUAAUGCAACCAAAAACUGACCCUUGACUUUGUGUUUCAAGAAGCAACCAUCCAUCCCUAUCAGUGGUCUACAUGUCUCUUUCCAGGUUUGUUUGAUUUUAUUAAAACAAACAUAAAACCUGUUAAACUCUUCUUCACCUUUGUCAUUUUUCAAUGUAUCAAUCUCCACUGUCGAGUUACUAUUUGACUGAAUAAGCUCUGCCGCAUAGUCACGGAGCCUUGCAAACUGGUGAUCAUAUUCAAAUUCAAUCCACUUCAACGCCUUACUCCUAGCUACCUGACACUGCGGUCUCGACACUGUGAGUCCCCACUUCUCCUUAAUUUUUUCUUCUAUUUUCAUGGGCAUAUAAUACUCUGUUUCCUCUCUAAUGCUAUCGACGAACAACCUAGCAAUAUGUGGAACCUUCAACAUCUCACAAGAUCCAUUGUGAACACACCUAUGUUUAUCUACAAACAGCCUAACUUUCCAUAUAUUGUCACUUGGUAGGAUGGAUGCAUACACUUUCCAUUCACAAGCUUCACCUUCGCUAACUCCACCAACACAUUUAAAUCCAAUCUUGUCUUUAUCGUACUUGUACUGUUUAAUGUUUCUGCCUGAUUUUAGUGCAUAAUCAAGGACACAUUCCUUAAAAGCUACUCCAUUGAAGAAUCUCUGGUCUUUGUACAGUGUUCUGUUACCACGCUUCGCAUAGUUCGUCGACCUCUGUUUCGAAACUCUCUCAUCCUCUUUACCCUCGUUAUCGCUGUCACUUUCACUUUCUGGAACCUCAUCGUGUCGAAUUGAAGGCUCGUUGACGAAGUCCUCAACCAAUUGCUCGAUUUGAAAUUCGUCUCUCUCCACAGCUUCUUCGUCGAAUUUAUCUUCUGCGUAUUCUACAGCUUCAGAGCCUAACGCCAUUGAACUCAUCUUCUUCGUAAAAAAUUUGGGGAUUUUCUGAAAGGUCGGGUUCUGGGUUUACGUUAAUUACGUUGGCUUUGUUUUUUUUUUUGAGUAGUAAGGCUGGAUCUUUAAUCGGGUUUAAAUCCUUCUUAAUUGGAUCUUAGUUGGUUAACUAUCAACUUUAAGUGGUUUACGGUUUAGGUUAAAACAGUAAACCGAUAGUUAACCGUCUAAUUUGAUGAUUGGAGAGAAAUAGGUUUCGAACUAUAUAUUCGGAGGGAAAUAGGACUGGAACUUUAUUCUCGGGGACAAAUAGAUAGAAGUAAUAGUUUCAGAGACAUAUAGCAAUAUACAAUAGUUCUCGUGGGGAAAUAGGUGGUCGACCCUGAUGAUUUUUACGUUUAUUCGUUUUUUUCUAUCAAGCAUUUACUCUGUUUUCGUAUAGUUUACAUGCUAAAUACCCGAAAACUAAACUCAGCUAAAAAAUCCCCGAAAUGUAUCAAGUAAUUAUAACAGCGCGAGAAAAUAAAAAUAAAAAAAUGGUUGUAACGUUGUUUGUUAAUCGAAUAUGAUAUUUCCUUAUACCUCGGACGACAAAACGCUAUAAAUGGCUUCUAAAUUUAAUCCUUCACACACAUGAAAUAAAUGAAUAAAUAAAGGGCCCCACAACAAACAAAAACUUGUGGUCUUAAUUUUGAAAAUUUAUAAAAUAUUUUUGUUAGAAUUUUAUUAAUAAAAUAUUAAACCAUUGAUGUAACUAAAACCACCUAUAGGAGGAAUCAACAUAAUAAAAUAAAUAUCAAUAAACAUAAUGAAAAUAAAUAAAUAUAUUUCUUAAACCAAAAAUAUAUAUUUAUUAAUUUAGUCUUAAACAAAAUAAAUAUUUAAAUUCAUUUCUUACACGUAUGAAUAUUUUUAUAAAAACUGUUUUUCUCUUCUGUAUAUUCAACAAAAGAUUAUUUUUUUUAAUUAUAAUUGUGCAUUCCACAGAUUUUUUUAAUUCCAUACUCCCUCUAUUUUUUAAUAUAAGUCGUUUUAGAGAAAUUUUUUUGUUCCAAAUUAUAUGUCGUUUUUGGUUUUUUAUGUAAAAUUUAUUAAUAAUUAAUGUUGUAUGACCAAUGAUAAUAUAUCUUCUAUUUUUUAUUGGUUGAAUUGUGGUUAGGUAAAUAAUUAAUAAUAUUUUUGUUUAGAAAAUAUAAGAAAUUAAUGGUUUUCUUAAUCUACGUGCUUAGCUGUAAAACGACUUAUUUUAAAAAACGGAGGGAGUAUUAGUUUUCCAGUUAUAGGCCAACAUAGCUAUUCUAUAAAUGGCUUGAGAGCCUCCCCUAUAGUAUAGUUCAUACUCAUACCAAAACAAGAUAUCUCUCUCUCUCUCUCUCUCUCUCUCUCUCUCUCUCUCUCUCUCUCUCUCUCUCUCUCUCUCUCUCUCUCUCUCUCUCUCUCUCUCUCUCUCUCUCUCUCUCUCUCUCUCUCUCUCUCUCUCUCUCCUCUGUUUUUGAGAAACAGAGCCUUUCAAGAUCUGUUUUGUUUGACUUUUAAUCUUCUCUCUCUUGCUUGCAUGGUUUAAAAAUCUUUCUCGUCAGAAUUGAAAAUCGAGGUAAAGUUUUCUCGCCAAAUCUCUUCUCUCUUCAAGAAAUCUAAGAAGAACGUUUCCUAAUACUCUGCUUUCGUUGUUGUUUCUCUCCAUGUUAGUUUGAGAUCCCAAGAAAGGAUUUGUAUAAUUUUUUCUUAUUUUCCUUGUAAAUUCAGGUAAUUUCCUCAAAACCCUUUAUAGAUUUAAGCUUAAUUCGAACAAAAGUACGAUGCUUUCAGUAAUUAAAUUAGCUGAAUCUGCAAACUAAACUCCAUUUCUUCGGAGAAUUUUCAUUGUUCACAAAAAAAUAUAUCAAGAUUUAGCAUAAAUGUCUAAACAUUGAUUUCCGGAUCGUGAUUUAGAUAUGUUUGAUUGAAAUGAUCUUAAAAUUAAUUCAUUUGGUCUUAAAAUAAAGAGGAUGGGUGGUGAGGCAGAGAUCAAGCAACAAUUACAACCUAAAUCUCUUCCAGCUGAAACAAUUGAGAAGAAGCAACACAACGUGAAAAGGAGGAGAUUAUGGCAGAAAGUGAAGUACCAGUUGGUGGAGUAUCACGCAUUGCCUGCUUAUCUGAGAGACAACGAGUACAUCAUUGGUCAUUACCGAUCCGAAUGGCCUAUCAAACAAAUCCUUCUCAGCAUCUUCACUAUCCACAACGAGACCUUGAAUGUUUGGACGUAAGUUUCUUGAUUUUUAUCCCUUUCUUGAGAUCCAAGAAACAUUGAAUGUGUAUGUGUGUGUGGGUUUGGGAUUUGCAGGCACUUGAUUGGUUUUUUCCUGUUUCUUGCGCUUACUAUAUACACAGCCACCAAAGUACCAAGCGUUGUGGAUCUUCACUCACUUCAAGACCGUUUACCUGAUAUCUUGAGGAAGACAGAUCUUCACAAACUUCACUCUGACCUCAUGUCUCACCUUCCUUCUAGUCCAUCUAAGUGGCAUGUCAUGGAGCUUCUCUAUAACUGUCUGCCUGAAAGAUUCUCUCAUGGCAACUACACCGACAUGUGUGUUCUUGUAAGAAAACACACAAUCUUUCUUUGCUUAUAACGGUUUCAAACAGUUUGAGUAGUUCAUAUUUGUUAACCUAAACAGACUUCCAACCUAAAAUUGAUAAACGUAUUGACUUGUUCAUUAUUAUUUUAUUUUAUUUAACUUAUUUAUCUUAUAUAGGGUUACCCGGCCCAGCCCUAUAUAAUCUAAGCUCAGUACUAAAUGAACCCUAACCCUUUUAGAACCCAUCAAAAUAUGUAAAAGAGGGUUGAACCCUUUUCAACCUUUUUUAAACCUUUUAUCUAGGGGUGUUCAAUCCGGAUAUCGGUUCGGUUUCGGUUUGGUUUUUUUUGGUUUUCGGUAUUUCGGUUAGUAAAAUAUAACUACCAUUCUAAAUCCAUAUUUACUUUGGUUCGGUACGGUUUAUAUACCGUCGGUUUUCGGUUUAUUUGGUUUUAUACCAAAAAACAUAAUUAUUUUGUUUGAGAUCAUAUUAUAUGAAUUUUAGAGUCAUAUUGUCAACACAGUCAUUUAUUAAAAAUAUAUUACAUGUUCAAAUAAAUAAACAAAAAAGUAAAAAUGCUUCUACCAUCAAAUAAAAUAAUCAAAUCUAUAACCAAAAUCAAAGCUUGAAAUUUUGAAUAUAAAAAUAUGAAACAAAACAGAAACAUGAAAGAAAAUUUUUUUCACUCUUCCAUAUUUAGUGUUCAUUAAAGUCAUGCUUUUUCAAUUGAAAAUUUUCCAUUAAUUAUUGUCCAUCAAAUUUAUAAUCUUCAUAUUAAUUUAGUGAAGACUAAAAUAAAUCAAAAAGAUAAAAAAAAUACUUAGAAAAUAAGAUGUCUGAAUUGCGAUGUAUUGUUAUUUAGUUAUAGUUCAAGUGUUUUACAAAUUAAGGUUUUUUAUUACUAUAAAAUCAUGGUAAUAGUUAUUAACACAAAUUUAACUUAUGUAACAAAUAGAUUUUCAUGUAUUGUUAUAAAAUAGAUACAUAUUUACAUGUUUCUACUUUUAAUCGGUUUUGUUCGGUUUAUUCGAAUAGAUACAUAUUUUAUAACAAGAAACAUUAUAUCCUACUUUUAUCUCUUUUUAUGUGAACACAUUUUCAUCUAUUUUAUAACAAUACAUGUUCACAUAUGUAUCUAUUCGAAUAAACCGAAUUUAACUUGUGUUCACAUAUGUAACAAAUAGAUUUUUAUGUGAACACAUUUUCAUCUAUUUUAUAACAAAUUUAACUUGUGUUCACAUAUUUUAAUCAAAUAUAUUUUCAUGUAUUGUUAUAAAAUAGAUUUCCUACUUUUAUCUCUUUUUAUGUGAACACAUUUUCUACAAUCUCUUACAAAAUACAUAUUUCUAAUAUAUUAACAUGUGUUUCAAAAAAAUCUAAUAUAUUAAAAUAAACAAAAAAUGGUUUUUGAUUAAAAUAUUUCUUGUUUUUAAUCUAAAGACUUGUGAUAAUGACAAAAAAAACUUAUUUUUUUAUUAUGGUGAAAAACAAAAAAAAAUUCAUUUUUGUGAUUAUGGCAAAAAAAAAACUAAAUUUUAAGAUUUUGGCAGGAAACCUCGUUUCUCGGUUUUGGCAGAUUAAUUCAAUUUUUUGAGAAAUAUUAUUUUUGUGGUUUUGGUCGGAAACCUCGAUUUUGGCAGGAAAUCUUGUUUUAUAGUUUUGGCAAAAUUUUGAUUUUUUCAGUUUUGACGGGAAAACUUGAUUUUUCGGUUUUGGAGGAAAAUCUUGGUCUACGGUUUUGGCGGGAAACCUCGAUUUUUCGGUUUUGGUGGGAAAUCUUAUUUUACGGCUUUGGCAAGAAAAUUUAAUUUCUCGAUUUUGGCGGGAAACCUCGAUUUUUCGGUAUUGGCGGGAAAUCUUGUUUUACAGUUUUGGCGGAAAAACUAGAUUUUUUGGUCUUGGCGGGAAACCUCGAUUUUUCGGUCUUGGCGGAAAACCUCGAUUUUUUGGUUUUGGCGAGAAACCUCGAUUUUUUGGUUUUGGUGGGAAACCUCGAUUUCUCGAUUUUGGCAGGAAAUCUUGUUUUACGGUUUUGGCGGAAAACUUCGAUUUAUCGGUUUUGGAGGGAAACCUUGAUUUCACAGUUUUGGAGGGUAACCUCGAUUUCUCGGUUUUGCCGGGAAACCUCGAUUUCUCGGUUUUGGCGGAAAAUCUUGUUUUACAGUUUUUGCGGAAACUUCGAUUUCUUGGUUUUGGUGGGAAAACUUGGCGAAUUUGGAAGGAUGUUGGUUUUUUGAAGUUUUAUCCCUACACCAAAACAUUGUUCUUUAACAAAAAAAAAACAAAAGUUAUCUAAUAGAGUCAACCCUGUCAAUACCCUUUAUUUCUUUAGCCCAACCCUAAAUCAGUCCUAAACACUUUAAGAGUAAUGCAUUAGGGUUAGGGUUCUUAAAUUAUUAGAUGGGCUGGGCCAAACCUAAAUCUCACAACCCUAUAUAACAUUCCUAAUCUUAUAUAUUACGUAGAUUCUUUUCCGAUUUCCGAUAUGGGAGACUUUGUCUCUAAUAAUAUAUUUCUCUUUAUGUUGCAGCACUCAGUGAAGGAAGAUCUUGCAAACAUGAUAGCUCCUCUGAUCUUCAGACCAAUCACCAGAUGGCCAUUCUAUGCAUUUCUAGGCGGUGCAAUGUUCUGUCUACUAGCAAGCAGCACGUGCCACCUCCUCUCUUGUCAUUCAGAGCGAGUCUCUUACAUAAUGCUUAGGCUUGACUACGCAGGAAUAGCAGCUCUCAUCGCUACUUCCUUCUACCCUCCGGUCUACUACUCCUUCAUGUGUGAUCCUUUCUUCUGCAACCUCUACUUAGGAUUUAUAACAACCUUAGGAACCGCCACCGUGCUCGUCUCUUUAAUACCGGUUUUCCAAACACCGGAAUUUCGUGUUGUGAGGGCCUCUCUGUUCUUUGGAAUGGGAUUCUCUGGUGCGGCUCCGAUCCUACACAAGCUGAUCAUCUUUUGGGACCAGCCUGAAGCGCUUCACACUACAUGUUAUGAGGUUUUGAUGGGUUUGCUUUACGGGUUAGGAGCUUUGGUUUAUGUGACUAGGAUACCUGAGAGAUGGAUGCCUGGUAAGUUUGAUAUAGCUGGACAUAGUCAUCAGUUGUUUCAUGUUCUGGUGGUGGCCGGUGCCUUCACACACUAUAGAGCUGGGCUUGUGUAUCUCAAGUGGAGAGACAUUAAAGGCUGUUGAAUAGUAAGAUGGAUAUUGAUGAUUUGAAUUUUUUUUGUAGCUUCCCCAAAAAAUUGGAUUCUGUAAAGUCUAUGUGUAAGCAAAUGUUUGUUUAUAUUACGAGUAAUUUGAACAGGUAAUUUGAACUAGAUGUUUCGUCCGCACAUGCGGACAUAAACAUUUUAUAAUUGUUUAUUAAUAUAUGCAUUACUUAUUAAGAGACUAUAAUGAUAAAUUAUUGUUUAUGUUUUCGUUUGAAUUUUUUUAUGUAUUAUAAAUUUUUUGAAAAUGUAUUUGUAUACUAUAAUCAUCAUUAAAAAAAUAGUUAUAGAAAUCACUCAAGAUUAUCUUUUUAAUUAUUAAAAACUAAUAGUUACUUGAUUACUAUUUAGAUAUGUGUUUUCUGUUCUUAAAUUUCUUUUGUUAAAAGAUAUUUUUAGAUAACAACUAGGCGUGAGUAUAUUAACCAAAAUCCGAAUCCGAACCGAUCCGAAAACAUGAAACAUAAACCGAACCUAAGUUAAAAAAACCCGAACGGGUUUAGGAUUCAACUAGUCUGGAUACGUAAUGUGCCCAGUCCAUGGACCAGUCCGACGAAUCAGACCAGCAUGAAGAUCAUAACGUUCCAGACGUCCCAGUUGAGGUUCACUCUUCCAAUCAGACCAGACAGAGCGAUCGGGCCGUGUACCGACUCGACCCGUGAAUGUCCGGAUUGGAGCUUCGGCCAGAUCCAAGACCAGAUGAUCGAACUGACCGAACCGAAGCUCGUCUUUCCCGAACAACUCGACAAGCUAAGGCUGAUGUUCAAGCCAUAAUCAACUUAGGACGAGCCAAUUCCGAUUCAGACCGUGGCUUCUCUCUUUUGGCCCGUUUGGCUCGUACCAUAUGCACCGGCGACUGUGCUGAUGAUCUUGCUUCCUUGUUUGAUCCGAUUAUGGACUUCUCCUUUGGAUAUUUCACUAAGGCAGGGAUCCUUAAGCUCCCAGAAGACUUGGGCCAUGCUGGAACACAACUUGUCCAAUCCGAACUUCCUGCGGUCCUUGCUGAUUGUCCCGCUCAUGUACUGAUCUUUUCCAUCUUGGACGCAACCAGCUCGGACGAAUCUGGACAAGUGCCGAACAGUCAUCUUGACUAGUCUUCUCCUAUUUUCGAGCCUUGACCAGAUCUAGUCAAGUUUAUAUUUUCUAUUGCUUGUUUUUCUACAAUUUUAUUUAUUGUCUUUGACUACAAAACUCUAUAAGUAUGUAAUCUCUUCUAAGUAAUAAAGCAAUCGAUUUUGUCUAAGCUUUUGAGUUAAACUCUUUGUUCUUUGUCUAGAACUUUUCUUUGUUUCUUGGUUAGUCAAUCCAAGCAAAUAUCUCUCAAUUUGUUGGUCUUGUGAGUCAUAUCAAGCAACGGUUCGAGAUUCUUCUAUUGGUAGACUUGUGAGUCAUAUCAAGCACCAACUGAAGUCGGGAAUAUCGGAGGCUCUUCCGCAACCUUCGUGCGACCCAUCAAUCCAUCUAGUUCUCCAUCCGAAGUCCAUAUCAAAUCUGAUCCAGUCGAUUGAACCGAUCUUAGGGUCCUUCAAGUGGUAUCAGAGCCACUCGUCUGGUAUCUUCUGAAUCAUUCCAUCUUCUCAUCUUCCAUUUCUUCAUAAACACUUCUUCUUCUAUCUAUCUUGAAUCCGGGCCCCCCAUUACCAUCCAUUUAAAAAAAAAGAUCUACGAAAAAAAAAGAGUUUCAAGUUUGAUUUCUGGAUUGGUGGUGGAAAAGAAAGCCUGCUGGCUGAGGAGAAAUCCAGCCUUUGAGGUGGUUAAAACGGAUUCUAAAACCAAAAUCUCUUAUCUUUCUAUAUUGAGAAAUAUCCCUUGUGUUUGCUUCGAUUUGUCCAUUGGGAUUCUUAGAUCUGUUCUUCUUAUAACCUUGAGUGGAAACUUGUUUGUGUGACCAUCCAAAUUCUGAGAGAAACACGUAAGUGGGUGAGGAUCAAACACUUGAGAGAAUGAGGAUUUUUAUCUAUCGUUUUGUGUUUAAAAAAUUUCAGGAACCAUGAGUAGUGAUGAUGAACAAAAUCGUCUCGGAAACUCAGUUGCUGGAUUGUCUAACCUUCAAAUGCGUGCUUUGAAUGAUUCUAUGUCUAACAUGUUGAGCGCAUGUUUAGAUCAAAUUCAUCAGCGGCUUGAUGAGCUUCAGGCCAACCAAACUCAUCCUAGAACCGGAGCAAAAAGAAACCGUCCGCGAAGGAACAACCGGUCCGACGAUGAGAUCCAAGAAGAGGACUUCCAAGAGGAUGAGGCCAGAUCCGCAUACCAUCCAAGAAGAGGUCCUAGAAACCGAGAUCAAGGUGAUGUCAAUCCAUUUGCUAGAACUGGUCGUACUGAUGAUAGUUUGAACAGAUUGAAACUGAAAAUUCCAUUUUUCGAUGGCAAAAAUGAUCCUGAUGCAUUUUUUGAGUGGGAAAGGAAAAUUGAGCAUGUGUUUGAUUGUCAAAACUUUUUUGAACUUAGGAAAGUAAGACUUGCUGGUACUGAAUUCUCUGGCUACGCUAUUAAUUGGUAUGAUCAAGUUUUGACCCACAGGAGGAGAACAUGUGAACGGCCGAUUGAGACAUGGGACGAGCUUACCAUGCUGAUGAGGAAAUGAUUCGUGCCUGCUCACUAUCACCGCGACCUCAACCAUAAGCUAAGACGCUUGCUUCAAGGAAUCAAGUCUGUGGAAGAUUAUUACCAAGAGAUGGAGAUCUUGAUGAUCAAGACGGACACGGAUGAGCCUUUGGACGCCACCAUGGCUCGAUUUCUUUCAGGCUUAACUGUGACAUUCAAGACCGUAUGGGGCUUCAAGAGUAUGGUAGUGUGGAACAGAUGCUACACAAAGCCAUUUUGUUCGAGUAACAAAUCAAGAGGAAGAGUUGCUCAAAACUGGCCAUUACUUCCAAACCGGCCUUCUCUCCCAAAUCGGCCUUUGCUACUAAGCUAAGCUAUCAAGACAAAGGUAAGUCUUCUUCCACAACACAUAAUGCCUUUAAAAUUGAUGUUCCUGCUCGUGAUGACAAAGGAAAGGCAGUGGAGACAUCCGGUCGAGCAAGGGACAUUAGGUGCUUCAAGUGUCAAGGUCUAGGACACUUUGCUAUGGGCCUUAAAGGGUCUGAGCCCAUAGCAAGAACACGAGCUUGAGAGGGAGUCGCCGAGGUCGCGGGGAUCGCGUAACAAGAAACAAAGAUCUCGUAGCCACCACGGAGAUCUCGUGCUCGACGCACUAUAAAGGUAGAAGAAGAAGAAAUACGGAAGAGGACGCGUUGAAAACCCUAGAGAGAGCUACACAUUCAUAUCGACCUUGUUUUCUUCCCACCUUUUAGAUUCUUUCUUUACCGAUCUCAUUUGUAUCACUCGAUCUAGUUCAAUUCAUUGUAUUUGAUCUUAGUCAUCAAUAAAGUCCAUUUUCACCUACUGGAAACUGUUUAACAUCGUUGUGUUCUAAAGAUAUUGUUGCCUACAUCAUUUGUCUUCCCUAGAUCAAACCCCGAUCACUAUCAAAUACUUUGUGUAGAUUUUAGGUUCUACAUUUUGGCACCGACUGUGGGAAAGAUAAACGAAAAACAUCUUUUCUAAGAAAAUGAUCUAAGUUUCCUAAGCGCGAUUAUGGAUCCCAACCAAACAACCAGAACCACGUCGUCGGGAGUCAACGACGUCGAUCCUAUCAGAUCCGACUCAGGAGCUGGAGUGACCCCAACUGGUUUAACGGAAGCCAAUGAUGUAACCGAAACAGCUCCAACACAAUGAACCCCUCCGAUCGGGACUUCGAGUCAAGAUCGAUCUCUUCCGAUCAACCAGAUGACGAUCCUGGAACAAACUGGAGCUCGAGUUUGGAACUGUCCCAGAGAUAUAUCAUCCCUGACGACCUAAACCCGAUCCCAAUCCAGACCGAUCUCACCGACUCCUCUAGCCCAAACCCCAGGAGAACAAACCGAACUCCGAGGAAUGAUGACAACUCUAAUUGACUAGAUUCAUAGUCAAAGGGUCACCAACCAAGCUAUUGCUAAUAGACUGAACCAAGCCGAAAGGGAGCUCGCAGAGCAUCGAGCUGCAAAUAUUCGGGAAAGAAAUCAAACGCCCCUCGAUCAAUUAAGGACGACGUCCACCGCCAAAGCACUGGACUGUUCGGCACUCCAGAGAUCCCAAGCGCCCGAUCCAGACGCUACGCGAGAGAAAAUUCGCAACGACCCCCGCCGCAUGGCAUGACCCACCGAAGCUUUAGCUACAGUGGACUGGACGAUAUCGACACUGGACUCCAACGCCCACGAAGCACUCCGAUCCAAUUCCAGAACGGAUCGACGGAGAGGCAUGGGGAGCCAAGAACACGAAUCUCACCAGCAAACCAUUCUUUCCUCGAGAAUAGAACUCCAUCCGCGUCAAGGACCUUCCAUCAAGCAGGGUUCGAUAACUGUUUGAUUUUGAUGUCUCUUUGAUUUUGAUUUAUGAAUAGAUGGAUUCUUUACCAUUUUCUGUUCAAGAUGAUACAAAUAGAAAUUACACAAAGAAAAAUAAUACAAACUCGUGUUCCUCAACGUAAUAACAAAUCAAAAAGAUCAUAAAUCUUAUAUUAAGUUGUUCAAUCUUCUAACUUCAACAAUAUUGUUUCUGGUUUCACAAAGUCAAAUCAAGGAUACAUAGAAUAUUUUUUUAUUUGUUAAACAAUUCGGUUAUACCCGACAUAACCCAAACCCGAACCUUAAAAACCCGAACCCAAUCCGAAGUAUAAAAUAACCCGAACGGGUUCUGUACCUCUCCAUCCGAAAACCCGAAGCACCCGGCCCGAACCCGAAUGGAUACCCGAACGCUCGGGCCUAUUCGUUACUAUUUAAUUUACUUAAUAAUCACCUUAAAUGAUCAUAUUCUUAUUUUGACUAGGGGUAGGAAAAAAAACGAACGGAACCGACUCAAACCAAACCAACCAAACCAAAACCAAUUCAAACCGAACCAAUGUUUAUUUCAAACCAUUCAGUUGAAGAUUUUUCCAACCCGAAUGAUUCGGUUCGGUUCGGUCCGGUUUAAAACUGAACCAAACCGAGAAACCGAUGUGUUUUUGUAAUUAUUUAAAUUAAAAAUAUUAGUAGUACCAAUAUACUAAAAUUCUAAUACUAAACCACAUAUUUUUCAUUUUUAUUCAUUAACAUAUAUUCUUCAGACCUAAUAGGUAAUCAUCAAAAUAUUUGAUUUAAAAAAUAGAAAAUUUUAUAUUUUUAUAUUCUUAUAUAUAUGUAAAUGUGGUUGUUAAAUCUAAACAUAAAACCUAAAACAAAUUUUAUUAAAAUCAAUUUUUUUCCUCUCUGGUGUCACAUGGAAGAUGAUUCAUUGCAGACUUUUUAAUAAUGAUAUAAGAGAUAUUACUGACGAUUUUUUUUGUUAACUUUCAUUUCUUUUAAUUUUUAUAUACUUUUGUUACUCUUUUAAAGGUUUUUGUUUUAGUUUUAUAUUGAAUUUAGUUCACAUAGUUUAUAUUCAUAUAAUUCAUUUCUUAAAAUAUAAUUUCUCUUAAAAAAAUUAACUAAGAAGAAUCUAAUUAAACUGAUUCAAAAUUUAAAUUGAACCGAACCAAAGACAAACCGAACCGAAUAUAAACCAAACUAACUAUGGUUUAUUUCAGUUGGAAAAAUACUAUAACUGAACUAACCAAACCGAACCAAAUCUGAACUGAACCGAAAACAUAACCGAAGUACCGACAUCUAAUUUUGACGAUGAUGUCACAAAUUUAAAUGAAAAUAAAUAUUAAGACAAUGUUAUCUAUAACAGUGAGUAUCUUUUUAUUAGUGGAAACUGCAUUUUAGGGAAACAAAUCUCUGAGUAAGCUAGUUUUAUAUUUCUUUUUACUUUCAGGAUUUUAUUCUAAAUAAACAAAUGAUUUUGUGUCAAUAAUCCUAAUUCGAUUUUUCUUACCAUACAUUUAGUUGACUGAUUCAUCUCACAUCUAAGCUAAUAACACCCCAAAAUCAGUAAAACUCAUACAUCUAAGCUGUUUUCUAGAGUUUUACUUGUUACCACCCAAAUCGGCUACGUUGUAGUUCUUAUAUUUUUACAGUUUUGAGGUUUUCUCAUUUACCAUCACCAUCAUCAUCGAUGGGAAAGCACGGCGGUGCAAAGACCAGAACCGCUGUCUGUUUCUCAGAUGGAGUUAUCUUCUUUGCCGGAGCCUUCAUGUCUCUAAUUCUCGUUUGGUCCUACUUCUCAAUUUUUUCACCUUCCUCCAAUUUCACCCUAAUCGGCUUUCGACGAGGCACCGAACCGGCUAAAUGCUCCGGUUUCGACAUGCAAUUCGACCCGGAAGAUCCCGGUUCUUUUUACGACGACCCGGAUCUAAGCUACUCGAUCGAGAGACCAAUCACGGGAUGGGACGAGAAACGGAAACAAUGGCUCGAAUCGCACCCCUCGUUCAAACCCGGUUCAGAAAACCGGAUCGUGAUGGUAACCGGUUCGCAACCGGCGCCGUGUAAAAACCCGAUCGGAGACCAUCUACUGCUCCGGUGCUUCAAGAACAAAGUCGAUUACUGCCGAAUCCACGGCCACGACAUCUUCUACAGCAACUCUCUGCUUCACCCGAAGAUGAAUUCGUACUGGACGAAGCUCCCGGCGGUUAAGGCGGCGAUGCUCGCUCACCCCGAGGCGGAGUGGAUUUGGUGGGUUGACUCCGACGCCAUUUUCACCGAUAUGGAAUUCACGUUGCCGUUGCACCGUUACCGUUAUCACAAUCUAGUGGUUCACGGUUGGCCGAGUAUUAUCUACGAUCAACAGAGUUGGACGGCCGUUAACGCCGGCGUUUUCCUCAUUAGGAACUGCCAAUGGUCGAUGGAUUUGAUUGACACGUGGAAGAGUAUGGGCCCGGUGAGUCCUGACUACGCAAAGUGGGGUCCGAUCCAACGGUCUAUAUUCAAAGAUAAGCUCUUUCCCGAGUCGGAUGAUCAGACGGCUCUGAUUUAUUUGCUGUAUAAACACAAAGAGGUGUAUUACCCUAAGAUAUACCUCGAAGCAGAGUAUUAUUUCCAAGGGUACUGGAUCGGUGUCGUUGGGGGUUUCUUCGCUAACGUGACGGAGCGGUACCUCGAGAUGGAGCGAGAGGACGCCACGUUGCGGAGACGGCACGCGGAGAAGGUGAGCGAGCGAUACGGUGCGUUUAGAGAGGAGAGGUUUUUGAAAGGCGAGUUUGGAGGGAGAGGGAGUCGCCGGAGAGCGUUCGUGACGCAUUUCACGGGAUGUCAGCCUUGUAGUGGGGACCACAAUCCGAGUUACGAUGGUGACACGUGUUGGAAUGAGAUGAUCAGAGCCCUUAAUUUCGCUGAUAAUCAGGUGAUGCGCGCGUACGGGUACGUGCAUACUGAUCUGAGUAAGACUUCUCCUCUUCAACCUCUGCCGUUCGAUUAUCCUGAUGAGACAUGGUGAUUUCUGUUGUGUGGUUUAACUUUUAGUGAUUAUAAUGGUCUGGAAUAUUUACUAGUUCGUUGCAUUAAUCUUGAUUAGGAGUAAUUUGAAUGAUAAUUCAAAUUAAAAAAAACUAAAACUAAAAAGGAAUUGGACGUAGAGUAUUAUCCAUGUCCCAUGCAUGACACAACCAACGUUUUGAAUUUAGUUGAAACACAUUAUAUAUGAUGCAUAUAAGUCAAAGCUAUUCAAUAGCAUAUCAUAUGUUUUCAACAUGCAUCAUGCAUGAGCAACCGUUAUCGAAAAAUGUGACUACUCUAUCGCAAAAUUUGUUGUAUUCUAUUUCCUCAAAUCAUCCACACCAUUAUGAGCGCUCACAUCGACAGUCCAUUCAUAAUAAUUGGGUUGGUGAUGUACAUAUUUAGCUGCCUAUCAAAUCACAAUCACAUGUAUAUCCUUAUGUAUUGCGUACACAUCUACUAAUUAUAAUAAUGAUAUAGAAGAGAAGACUAAUUUCAUUAUAUGGAAGAAGAUGAAAAUAUUAUAUGGUAAUAGAAAAUGGAAUAUUGAAAAUAUUAUACAAACGACAUUACGUUAACGUUUUUGUUUUCACUUUUACAACAAUAUGGCAAAGCAGUACCACAAACACACAUGUGUUUCACUCUUAAUUACGUAAACCACUCAAAUCAUUGAAUCACACAAGAUACGGAAUAUUACAUACAAUAGUUACUGGAGGGCAUAAGUAUAAUUGGCAACACUGUAACUCUUACUCCUUUGAGUCAUCUUGUGAUUACGCCCGAAAUUAAUCAAAGGACUUGUCUCAUCAAUUCUCUCAAACCUAUGAUGAUCAUCACAACUUCUCACACUCUUAGCCUUCCUCAAUUUCGUGGACGGCCCAUGGCGCGUAUCAGCGGUCGUACUCCUAGCUGAUGCGGAUCUUACAAGUUCAGCUACACGAUCCUCUAUGGACCUCGCAGAAUUUUGGGAGUGGCUUGCGCUGAGACUUCGUGAGAGAGAGCUUACGGAGCAGACUGGUAUUCCCAAAGACAUGGCGCCGCCAAGGUCAUGGGAAGAUAAUUGGUUCAUGCUUUGUAUGUACAAGUCUCUAGCUUUCACCACCAUCUUUAUGGGAACCUUCAUGUACUUGCGUAGUCUGCUCUCUUUUUUCGUGCUCAUAUUUUUCUUACUAAGAGAUUCCAAAGUUUCUCCUUUCCAAAACACACAAAAAGAAAGCUGUAUUUAAACAUAGAUAAAGAGAAGCUAGCUUAGUAUUUACAAAGAUUUUUUUUGUUUGGAAAAUUUAACAAUUUAUAUCAAACUUAAAAUAUGGUUGAUGGCACUUGCGUACGGAGAUGCAUCAUACUAUUUAAUAAGUAUAACACGAGGUUUUCAUUGAUUAAAUUUAUAUAUAUAUAACAUGAGAUGUUGAGAGUUUGAUGGAAUCCAUACUAAAAAAGCUAAAUUUUGAUUAUGACAACAAAAUAAAUGUUAUCUUACUCUCAAUUGGGGCGCCUGUUUAAUUGUAACCCCCAAAUUAUUAGACCCAUUCUAGUAUUUUUAUAUUAUGUGCAAGAGAAAAAAAAAUGUAAACUCAACAGUUGACUUCAAAAUAUGAAAAUAGAAGAUGUGGACAUUAUACCAUGAAAAUAAUUGAAUAUCACAGCUAUACUAAUACUUAGAGACAAAUUAACGUAUUUGAACAAAGCAAAUUUAUCAUAUAUAACAAUUUCAUCGUUUCCAACGAGAUCAGGAUUAUAUUAAGCUUGAAGUAAUGUAGUCUGAAUGCAAAGUCUGCAUUGACCAAACAAAGUUAUUGGGUGGUCCCUUUCUAACUAGUACAUGAGCUGUCACGUUGAAAUUCCUUUUGACAUGAUGAAAGCUAGAUCGAUAAUAGUUUAGCAAUCCAAGCUUGUUUUUAAUCAUGUUUAGUAUUGAAACAUCUUCAUAUCUCCUUUCAAACAAACUUAAUUGCAACCCUCUUGAUGUUUCGUAAAGCCAUACAACUAUUAUACCUUCUACUUCAACGCUUGAUAUAGUCCUGAAGUACCUGAACCCUAAUAAUUUGAAGCUCUUUGAUGAUCCCUUAACAUUCAUCUGCGACAACUCCUCGUGAUGCUGAAUCAGAGAUAGCAUAGUUGCAUUUGAACCAUCCUAUAUUUGGUCGAGAUCAAGAGUAAGAUGAAACAAGUGGUGUUUAAAGUGAGUUAUGCGGUAGCAAAUUCGUAUGGUAACUUGUCUUUCAAAGUAGUCGUAAUCCAUUCAUAAACAUCCACAUGCAAGUUUAACUCUUGCUGUGUAACGUUUAAGUUAACCUGUAUUUUUAAUGAUUAGUGAAUCCUAUAUUCUAUAUAGAUUAAUGAUAUGCCUAAUGUUUUUCCCUGUGCUUUAAGAUAGAGAAAAUAGAAGGAAAUCUUUGAUAAUCAUUAUAUUGAUACUUAUGUCAGACAAGUAACCAAAAAAAAAGGGUUUUUAUCUAUAUAAUAAGUACACUUCUUUUCAAAUUCAAAUCCGAAGGCUAUUGAUACGUUUUCUUUUUUGAUACGUAAUAUUUCUUCUCAUCAUUACAAUAACAAAAUCUCUCGUGGACGGCGUUCUUUAUUCUGUUGGACCAAAUUAAUUGUUCAAGGUGUUCCAUAAUAUUCCUGUCAAACACAUUAUAAAACUAACAGUACAAUAUUGAGAACACACUCGUUGAAAAUUUCCAUCAUAUUCACUCAUGAGCAUAAUUUGUAAAUAAAGGAAACUCACACAAAAAAAAAAGUUCUCAAAAGUCAAACCAUUGGAAGAGUCAAAAACCAAAGGCUUGACCGGCCUUGAAAAUGUUGCACAUGAAUCAUAAAUUCAUACUAUAUAUGUGAGAUCCUACACAUUCAAACUUCACCUCCAGAAAUAUUUGCUUAUCCUAAAAACUUUCAUAAAUCUGUAAUCUCAGGCGUUCAUGUCUCAGAGUUACCUUAGUGCCCAAGAAACUAAUACACUGACAACAAGAAAUUACCUAAUGUCACUCCAUUCGACCAGAAAGCAACCUUCAAAGCCAAUGAAGAGGCCUGUAUCAUCGCCUUUGAAGUCCAUGCAUCCCCAGGUUUACCGAGUCGAGCCAGCAAACUUCAAAGAGUUGGUUCAGAGGCUAACUGGUGCACCUGAGCACGAUGAUGUGGUUAAACCCUUCAAGAGUUUUGAUGAUUUGGCAAAUGAGAGUUCUUCAUCAUUAGCAUUUGAUUUAUCAUCCUCAUCAUGGGGAGAUUUAUCACUUCAAACUCCUGCAAAUCUCUCCAGAUGGUAGCUUUUAUAUAGGACAUAACAUUUUAUUUACUCUUGCAGGUACUUCCAUUGAUUGUAAUUCUCCACAUGCCUAUUAUGUAUUAGCCAUUUAAUAAAACGAGAAAGAAAUAUAAGAAAGUAAUGUUUAUUAACUUUUUAAUGGUAACUUGUGGAAUAGUAGAAUGAACUAUUCUGCAGAACUUUACGGAUUUUUUUUUCAAUCAUGAUCAUAUUAAAUCGGUUUUUUUUGGAGUCUAUAGCUUUGAUUGGUUAAACCUUUUUUUUUUUGUAACCAAAUAAUAAUUUGAACAUUUCUAAUUUAAAACAUAUUUUAAACUCGAUUCUAUACUAUAUAUAAUUAUAUACAUGUGGUAUUUUGACACUUCCAUUGAAAGAAUUAAUCAGUGAUUCUAUAUACACAUAUAUAUAACUUGUGGAAGUAAUUUGAAGUUAACGACAAAUAAUUAACCUAAGGGUUAUUCAUGUCUAUAGAUAUAAUCAAGAUGAGCCGUCAAUGUUCUUCUCGUCAAGCAAUCUUCGUCGUCGUCUUUCUCGCAUCUCUCUCCCGCCGCUUCAUAUAAUUUUGAAUCCAUCAUUUCCUAAAAUGUAAUUAAACAUAUAUGAAUCAAGAAAUGAAAAUAUACCAAUUACGUAUAAAAUCUACAUUAUAACCGGGUAUGUAGUAUAUAUGACUAACCAGACUAAGUAUGUCGGCCGAAGAUAUUGUGAAGGAGGGGAAAUCGGCCGGUUCAGGGCGGGCGGUGCACCUUAGCGUGGUGGUGCAACAAAGGACGAGAGCUACCAUGAGCAAAGUAGAGAGAUUAUCCAUUUUGUGAUUAAUUUUUGGAUAUUGACACCAAUAAUCACCAAACAAUCUUUAUAUAGAGUCAUUCUUGGUUAACUAUAUUCUUAAUGUAUUCUUUAUUUUAGACUGUUUUGUUCUUAUCUUUUAUUUUGUCAGUGUUCUUAUCUUUUCCACACACACAAAAAUAGUAAAUAAACACACAUAUAUCUCUUUACUCGUCCUGGGAAUAGGAAAAGAAGAAUAUAUAUAGUUUUCAACAUAUUUUUUUAGUUUUUAGUUUGUUGAAUUUGAUUAAAUCUAGAGUAUGCUAAUAACUUUCUAAAUAUUAACCAUCAGACCAAAACAAUUUAGCUGUGUAUAUAAAAACUAUUUCAACAACAACAUGUACAUCUAUUUUUCUUCGAAAGUAACUAAUUACCUUGUCUUCUUUAUAUUGAAACAUAUGGAAGUCGAUCGUGGGACGCAUGAAUUCUUUUGCCACUGAGUAUUGGCUUGGUCACUUGAGUGGAGCGAAGAAGAUUGUGGCUGGACCGAAACCAAAUUAAUACACAUGAUAAUGAAUAUCAAAAAUGUUGAUGUUAAUCGAGAGCUCUUGGUCUAGUGGUAAUCAGGAGCAAAGUUACAUUGGCGCUUCUGGGUGCAAGUCCACCCAUAAUGUUUUAAGAACAUAAAAUAGUUAUGACUGAAUUAGCUCAGUUGGUAGUGAAUGCACCCAGUGGAUCUUAUGGUAGGGAUUCCAUGCACCCACAAUCACAUUUAUUACAUAUAUAAUAUAUUUUAUCAGCAUUAUGCACCCAUUAAUUUAUUUUUCUGGCUUCGUCCCUAAUGAUAAUGGAACUCUAGCUGGAGUGCCUGUUCUGGGUUCGGAUUGUCUUAAUCACCUUCCCGCUUAUAUCUAUGCGUGUCCAAAUAUAAGGUUUUGUGGGGAUUAGUUUGAGUUUACCGUCAGGGAUCCCCACGAACAUCAAAAUAAACAAAGCAAAAACAAAAAUGUUGACGUGUUACCUAAUGUAAAAUCAACGUUAGGCCAAAAUUACCAUUAUAAGGCCUUAAAUAUAAUUUUCUUUUUGGGUUCAACCUGUUCUUAUGAAAUUCAACACCAUCAAUAACGUGAACAUCACAGAGUCACAUGUGGAUUGGUGUUUCAUUUUAGUUACUUCAGCCCAUGAUUCAGCAAUGACCAUUAGUACAUUUUUUGUCGUAGUCAUUAGUACAUUAAUCGCAAUAUGUACCACUAUAUAAAGUUAUUUCCCGAGAAAACGAUCGAUCUUUACUGUUGUAAAGAAAAACAAAUCGACGAAAGUUACCACGUCAUGUAGCAAUAUUAUAAAUAACAUUUGACCAUUUGCAUGCAUGGACAUAUUACAUCUACGUGACACACGGUCCGUAUAUAUAUAUAGUCGACCUAUACUUGCAAAGAACUCUAAUGACGCACCAAAUGACGCCACGCGAUAAAUCUCAACGAAUACACCACCACAAACAUAUAGAAAACAAAAGAUAUGUCUGCAAAGGUGAAAAGCCAUGAUUAAUUAGUGGAUUCUCAACGUACUUUGCAUCCAUUUACGCUUAUGUAUACACGCACACACAUAAAAAGCAUGUAUCCUGGAGAUGAAACUGACGUUGGAAGGCCAAAAAAAAACUUAUAACAUAUUAGUUACGGUGCGUGGCUCUUUUUUGGUUUUAAUCAGUUACUAAACAUCAAAUUUGCAACUCAGUUUCUUAGAAACGACAGACGUUGUUAAAGAUGAUUUAAAGGCGAUAAUGUUGCCUGUUAACAUCCAUUGCCAAAUAUGAUUUAGCGACACAUUUAGGUUUUACCAAUUUACAAAAUGUUGUCGUUAUAUGGCUUGGUUUUGUAGUGGUUAAUAACUUUACAUGCGUUAUUUGAAUUACAAUUGAUAGAAAAUAUGUAAAAGAUAGUCCCAUACUUUUGACUAAAGUUUUUUCCCCUCGACUUUAAUUAGAGAUUUAAUAAAAGUUCUUUAUCUAAAUAUGACCUAAACCGUACGUAGCCGUCGCAUAUACUAAUCUGUAUGUAUAAAUCACCAAUUCAACAUGAUCCAGAUUAUAUACAUCUCAAAACUGAAAUUUCUUUUCCUCAAGCAUAGGGAAAUUCGUUAAUUAGCAGAAGGGCAAAGAAUCAAAUGUAUAUAUUCUUAAUGAUUCGCAUGGAUCUUAUUAAGAUUAAAUCCAAGAGGGUAUAAAUAGAGAUUGUACAUAUAUAUGUCUACAAAUAUGUAAACGAAGUAUUAUUGUAAAUUUAUAUUUCUCUAACUGUUUUGAUGGGAGAUUUUUAACUUAGAAGUUUGUAAUUAUAUAACCCGUACAUAAUAAAUAGUAUGCAAAUGUGCAAUGGAAUGUUGAUAUAAUUUUAUACUGUAAUAAAUAAAAAUUGGGAUAUUUUCAAAAAGCCAAUAUGUGAAGCUUUUCAAUUGGACAUUAAAGUUUGAUUUCACAUGAGACCGAACCAAAGACUUACGAUGAGCACAUUCACAUAAUAGCAUAACUAUUUAUAUAUACAAUGGAAUGUUGAUCUGUAUUAUAGUAAAUGAAGUUGGAAUUAUUAAAAAGCUAAUAUAUGAAGCUUUUGUAUUGAAAUUAAAGUUUGGUUUCACAUGGGAUCGAACCAAACAUGAGUCUGGCUGACCAUGAAAAGGUUCAUGUCGAAUAAAUUAAUUAAGCAAUGUAUAUGUAAUUGUUGGCCUCUACUUUAUUAUAUAUGAGAUGCAUGUGGCUGUUGCUCCACAUAUAUUUUUCUAAUAUUCCUAAAUGAGCUAACUUAAUGUAUUUUCUGAUAUAGUUUUUGAUUAAUUGUCAUAUUAACAACAAAAAUAUAUUUUUAUCAGAAAUGUAUACUUCACUAAAACUUCAGAUUUCUCCGUUUCUCCAUAUUAAUCAAUUAAAAUAAGAAAUCUCUCAAUUAUACUUUGAGUCGGCAUAUUACUAGUUUAUAUUUCAAUGUUUCCGUGAAGCAAGCAAGUAUAUAUACUUUUUUGCUCGUAGGAGUGUAGGAUAUAGGGUUCUUUACAAAAAGCAUUGGUCUCAUCUCUCGUGCAAAGCACCAGUUUGCUUCAGUUAAUUGGAAAGUGUUCCUUAGAUUCUUUAUUUCUUUUCGGUUUGAUUAAUUUUACUCCACCCUUUGUCUACCUUCUUUUUCUUUUUUAGAUUGAAAUGAUGAUUCUAGUCCCUCUCCAGUGUCCAUCCCGUGUAGAAAGAAAUCAAAAAUAUUUUAUUUUUCUUCAACAAAAAGAGCUCCAUCGUGGCUGUAAAUAUCAUAGCAAGUAUAUGUUCGCAAUACAUCUGUUGAUGCGAUGCGAUGCGAGAAAAAAAAAGAAUUACGAUCAAUGAAGUUAAAAUGCUCGUGGAAUGUUUUUUUAAUGUACUAGGGUUUAUUUUUUUAAUGCUCGUAGGGCGGGAUAUUAGUUAAUUUGAUAUUCAUUAAAUGCUCGAGUUGAAAUUUGUUUUAAGAUUCAAAAAUUUGGUUAUCUGUUAUGUCUUACUUAUUAGUAUGCGGUGGUAUAGUUGUUUUUCGAUUAUUCUUGCUUUGAUAUUGUAUCAAAUUAACUAAUUGUCCAACUCAUAAUUAUAGAUGUACAAAUGUGGAUUUGUGAUAAAGUUUGAUGACAAUACUGUUUUUUUUAAUUCUUAUUCAUAGUGAUGUGUGCAUGUGUCAGAAAGAGGCCUAUAACAAUUUUUAUGUUUUUAUGUAUGGAUUUUAAAUAUAUAUUAUUUUGUAUAAUGUAUACUUGCUUUACAACAUUUGCUUGUAGACUAAAAAAAUUAUUCUCUAUAUUUUUAAAAGAGAAAAUAUUUAGUCUAGAAUAUAACAUGGACAUAUGUAUUGACUAUUUAUAGAAGUUGGGUGUUAUUUUAAAAUGACAUAUGUAUAGAGAUUUUUAAAUCAUUACUUCACUGGCACAAAACAUUUAUAACUGUAAAUAUUUUCUUUUAAAAGCAAAACUAAUAAAAACGUGUACAACAAAUGUAUUUUGAUAUAUAUUAUAUGCAUCAAGUUAUAAAGGUUGGAAACAUUGCAAAAUUGUUUGGAGCAAAGUUUUUAACUUCACGAUCUUCAUCUUGAUGUCAGUUCAGUGUCGGCCCUGGUCACAAGCAGAAGAAGCAUGGGCUUCCAGCUGGUACACGAUAAUAAGUAUUUUCGCGGUCACAUAUUUAUAAAAAGUGACUUUAGCCUAUUGGUUCUAAGAGAAAUUACCAGCGCUAGAGGUGCUGGGUUUCAAUUACCCUUAACUGCAUUCAUUUAUUUUGGCCAUAAAUAUAAAAUGAGACACGUGUCACUCUCAGAACGCACGAAUUGAUGAUGUGGCUUCACGGGAGAGAGGCGAACAUUUCUUAAUAUAAUACAUAACGUUGAAAAUACAUUAUUACUGAUCACUAAAAAAUUAUGUUAGUAGUAAUAAAAAUGAAAUGACAACACAUUUAUUAAAACCAUAGAACGGCACGCAAUAAGGUAUUAUGUAAUAUAGAAACUACAAAUUAAAUAUGCUCAACGCAAACACACAUAAAAAUGAGACAUCAUAUUUGGAUAUAUUUAAAUAAAUAAUUUUGAAAUUACUCAAAAGAAACUAAAUUAUUAAAAAUUACUUAAAAGAAACUAAAUUAUUAAAAAUUAAUAUACAAAUAAAACUAAAGAAAUAUUUUGUAACGUCAAAAUAAUAAAUGAAUAAAAAUAUAUUAUGUUAAUAAAAUAUAUUUUAGAUUUUAAAGACUUCUAAUUCAUGUAAUAUUACAAAAUUCAAAAUUUGUUUAUUACAAUUAUUAUUUUACCAUUAGAUAUAUUAAAAUAAUAUUCUAGAUCGAUAUUCAAUUGUCAGUUUUCAACUAUUACACGUAAAAGAUUAUUGUUCAGUACGCUUUUUUUAGAAAAGAGGGUUUUAUAUUUUAAGUAGGUUAUUGGAGUACUUUUUCUUUUCGUGAAUUUAUUCGAAAUGAGAUUCCGAUCUUUUAAACUAAGGCCUUGAUUGGUAGAGCAUUAGCAUUAGCAGUAGCAGUAUGCUAUAGAAGCAGUAUGCUGCAGGCGUUGUAUGCUUUUGUUAAACUGUUUAAUAUGAUGAUUGGUAUAGCAGUAUGAGUAUGAUAUUUAAAAUUAUUAUAAAAAUUAGUAUAUAACAUAUAAUAUAUUUAUUUUUAAUGAAUAUAUUUCUAAUAUAUAUAAAUAUAUUAACUUAUAAAAUUAAAAAGAUAUAUAAUUAAUUUAUUUUAUUUAACAAUUUAAAAUUUAUAUUAUAAAAUAUCUAUUUCUAAAAAUAAUUUUUCAAUUUUGAAAUAAAUUAAAUUAUAUUUUAAAUGUGAAAUACUAUUUUUUUUAAAAAAAUAUUUUUUAUUGGAAAUUAAUUUUAGAAAUCAAAAUUUUAUAUUCUGGAUAUAAAAAUAAUUUUAUGAUAUUAUUAGAUAAAAUAAAUGAAUUAAUUAUAUAUUUUCUUUAAUUUUAUAAAUUAUAAAUGCAAAUGCUCUUCUAAAAGCUUCAUCUGAGAGUAUUGGCUAGAGAACAUUGGCUAGAGAGCAUUUGGAGAGCAUUAGCAUUUAGUAAAUGCUUCGCUAAUUGUUUUUCUGACAACUGUUGAUUGGAUAAUGUAGAGCAUAAUGUUAUACCAAUCAAUGCUUAAGAUAAUUUAUGUUCUAUGCAUAAUUAUAUUUUUUUACAUAACUCUAAAAUCUCGGACUUGAUUCUUUAUAUUUUAUUAGUUAAUUGUGUUACAUAUAAUAGAAAUACUUACUUCAAACUAAAAAAGAAAUCAAAUUUAAAAAUUAGUUAUAUAUAAUUUAAUAUACAAAAAUUUAAAUAUAAAUAAAAAUGAUAAAUAUAACAACUUUAAAUAUAUUAUCUGCGCGUAGCGCGGAUAAAUGAUCUGGUGUUCAUAAAUAACUAAUUCCAAAGAAAAUUAAACAAAGUAUUCAAUCUUAAUCUGAAAAGUAAACCUUUCUAGAAAUAUGUCAUUCUUGAAUUAGUCUGUAUAAUAUACCAAACGUGUGAAAUGUCGAUUGUUUCUUCAUCACUAAGGUAUUACAGACGUUUGGUUAUUUAAUUUCAAGAAAAAUAUUUAUUUUUAUUUUUGCUAUACGGACCCCAAACGAGCAAUGGUGCCCCACAAAAUAUUUCUUGCUUUUACAAAGUUGGCUCUACAAGUUUUUAAACCCGCCAUAGUGCAACAUGACUCAAAAGCUGCUUAUACAGUAUAAUAUACGGUUGUAUACCGUAUUUUAAAGUGACUAAAAUACCCCUGUUUAUUUGUCCAUAAAUAUCAAGCUCCAACAAUGCAAUUCUUCCCUUUUCCCCUUCUAAUCUCUCUCAUCUCUCUACUAGGAAAAAAUAAGCAAUUAUGUUGUCCACUGUACCGGCCUUUUCCAUGUCUGAACCGGGUUUAGUUAAUCAAUUUCAGGGAUUCCAAACCGGGUUCACUCCUUGGGAAUGGGACUGCUCUGAUCUCUUUUCCGUUAACCAGCUGCCUCUUGAACCGGCCGUUCCCAGUCCAUGUUUUGCUGAAUCCGACUCUGGUCUCGUCAAAAUUAAACCUGGUUUUGAUGGCAUCAAACCCGGUUCUGAUGAAAAUUAUACCGGUUUCAUCAAAACUAAACCCGGUUUUGACGAAGCCCAAAGUUCCCACGGCGUACCAGAUGAACCGGACUCGGACGACCCAAAACAAUGGACAGCCAUCGUGAGUUUACACUCGGGAGAGCAGAAUCAUAACCGGAAUAAACUAAUUCAACCCGAGAUGACCGAGGAGAAGAAGAGGAAGAGGAUGGAAUCGAACCGGGAAUCAGCGAAACGGUCGAGAAUGCGUAAACAAAGUCACAUUAAUAACUUAAGGAACCAAGUAAACCAGCUCGACUUGGAAAACCGUGAGCUCAAGAACCGGCUCCAGUUAUUUACAUACCAGCUUCAACGAGUGAAUACAGACAACAUCCAGCUCGUGGCGGAACAAGACAUUCUCCGGUUAAGAUUGUCGGAGAUGAGGCGGAUCCUGAUGAUCAGACGACAACAACAAUGGGGACUCAAUAACCGGAGAAUGAUCAUGACUGAACAAAACCCAUCUACGAUCAUGGAUCAUAUGAUAUAUAUAAGUAAAUAAUAAAAACAAAAAAAACUAGAACGAUACCAUCAAUCUCUUUCUUUGUCUCUCUAUCUCUCUAUGUAAAUGACAUUGAAGGUUUAGGGCAGAGGAAAACAAAGUUUUCGAGAAGGAGAAGAAGAUGAAAAAGUUUUAUUUUUUGUAAUCUUUUUUUUUUCCACUCUCGUAGGAAGUGAUCGUUGUCGUGUUAUGAUAAAUAACUAAAAGAGUUAUCACAUUAAUGCAAUGAUAUAAUAUUAUUCAUACUUUAUGGGAAGCUUUUGUGCGCAAUGACAGCAAAGUAGUUUAUUUAAUUUAUUUUUUUAAUAAGUUGAAACAUUAAAGUAAUUAACAGGUUACACGAAUAAUUAAAGGGUAAUUAAAAUAAGCUAUCCCAAUAUUCAUUUAAAUAUAUAUAUAUAUAUCAUCACAAUGUGGGAGCCAUGUUACUUUAUCCAUUAAUCAUGUCGGCCCAAAACAAGAUUUGGUUCUGAAAGCCCAAUAGGAAAUUAAAUCCUCAAGUCCAUAUAUGUUUGAAGAGCACCUAAACCCUAACCUUCAGUGGAAGCCACAAUUACAGAGCGAAAAAAACCCUAAAAAAGGAUCUGACCAAACGAUUCAAGAAACACAAAAGAACAAAGCAAUGCACCAAAGAAACAAGAUAAAAUAAAUAAGGACAGAGCUUUUAACACUUUUCCUCCUCAGGUAGUGUAACGGAAGUUGUUGUUGCUCUCUGCAACGGGGCUGUUAGAGAGUGGACAAAACGUCGUUGACUUUUGCAGAACACCUGUAGGAGAAGAUCCCAGCGUGGGGCUGUUCGUUGUGCUGUUGAGUACUUCACCUAGAGGACCUCCCAAGGAGUUUCCCCAUGAGAUUGGUAUCCAAGUAUUCACCUUUUUGAGUGUUGUUUCCUGCUCAGACUCCUGCGAUAGCCUGAGAGGUGACAGAGUGGUUUUGUCUUCACCAGUGGAGGAAGGAGAUGAUGAUGAUGAUGAUGCUACUGGAAUUGACAUUGAAAGCUGCGUCCAGUCUGACUUCAGCUCUUCGGGCCAUGAGCUGUGGUUGUGCGGGUUCACCAAUGAAUCAGAGGAUAUGUGUCCAAACUCAAAAGAGCUGUUGUUGUUUCUCGGUUUGGGAGAUUCCUUGGGUUGCAAGUUAACGGUGGAUGGAUACACCUGGCUCUGGACUCUGCUUUGCAACAAUACGUAAGUAAGCUACGAACAUGAACCACCAAAUAGGCAAAGUAUUGAAAGAUACUCUACCUAUUGUUAGACGGAUUGAUGUAUUGAGCUGCGGUGGUGAGACUGCGGUUACGGUUAAUACCGCCAGCAGCCACGGACUGUUGCUGCGCUGUAACCGCUUUGGAUGCAGCAGCAGCAGCAGCGGCGGUCUGGUUAGAUUGGACUUCCACAAGCUUUCUUGAACGGUGACGGCCUCUGUUGAUGUGUCUUUCACAGUAUUUCUGAUCAGGAACAGCAUCUCUUGAGCACCUCCAUUUCUUCCCAUCUGUUCUACGGCAUCUCCCUGGCUCAGGAUCCAUGUUACCUCCUGCAAAACCUAGAUGAAAAGUUCCCCAUCCAACUGCACCAAAUGCCAAACAAAUAGUUUUAACCCCCAAGAGCCCCAAUCUUGAAAAAACCUUUCAGGAGCAAUCAAUGUUUUUUUUGAACUAAAUUUCCCUAACCAUUUUUUGUAUUACAAACUAGUUUUGCCCACACACUAAACCCGUUAAGCUAGUCUGUUUAAAAAAUACUUUAGGAAUCAGUUUCCCUUCCUAACCAAAAUCAUGAGAAAGUGAGGUUCUCCUUUGUUGCUUAAAUGCCGGGACUUUUAAGAGCAAUCAAUACAAUGUUUGGCAUUUCAUCCAACUGCACCAAAUGCCAAACAAAUAGUUUUAACCCUUUUGAGCACAAAUCUUGAAAAAAACCUUUCAGGAGCAAUCAAUGUUUUUUUUUUAAUGAAAUAUAUUAAAAAUCGACCCGUUUUUAUAAGCCCGAUUUGAACAAAAUUUUCCAAACCAUUGUUUUGCAAACUAGUUUUGCCCACACACUAAACCGGUUCCGCUAGUAUGUUUAAAAAUACUUUAGGAAUCAGUUUCCCUUCCCAACCAAACCAAAACCAUGAGAAAGUGAGGUUCUCUUUGUUGCUUAAGAUGCUGGGACUUUUAAGAGCAAUAAAUGCUAUGAAAGGACUUUGCACCUAAAAGUCUUUAAAAAAAAAACAACUAGAGACACAACAAAGCAUUGGCAACAAAUCUUGGAAUCAUGAUGAUUAUCAAUGACACUAUAUCAGCAAGUAGAAAGAAAGGGAGCUUACAAGAGCUAGGAGGCAAAGAUCCAUAAGGGAAAAAGGACUUCUGGAUAGAGAUGAGCAAACUAGAAGGAACAGGGACAUUGGCUGUGAUAUACUUAUAGAUCAACGCCUGUUGUUCUAGCUCAGCCCAUUGAGUCAAUGUAAAAGGUCCUUUCCCCUGCAUGCUCAUCAUCAUCCCACCACAACCAUAUCCUCCUGCAUUUUUCCACACAAAAAAAAUUGUUUAAAAAUAAAAAUAAAAAAAACUUUGAGAUAUUUACAUAAAAACCCAUUUCACCACAUCUAACUUAGCAGACCUCCUGAGUAGCUUCUAUAUUGAGGUGGGAACUGGUGGAGAAACGGCGAGAGAGAGUUCUUGUUAUCCAAACAGACAUAUUUACUGAAGUCUUGAGCUUCUGGUUUGUCUGAGAAGCUAAGCAUUUGUUCUUGUCGGAGAGAGUCAGAAGCAGAUCUCAUAAGUGGGAACCCCAACGACUUGCUGUAAGCAGCUGCGUAAGGGGAAGACAAGCUCUUGUCUUCUGCCAUUGUUGUUGUCUUUGCUAGCUUUGAGCUUCGUGGCAAACCGGAUCUGUCUUCUUUCAGAUCUGGUGACCCAUUUACAUUACUAGUAACCGACCCGGGAACAUGAGUCCCAAUAUCCAUAUAAAGAAGUGUAAAAGAAGUAAUAAUAAAUAAUAUAAAAAAGCUAGAUAAUGACUUGAGAGAGAGUUGCCAUGGGGAGGAAGAAAGCUUGAGCAAAGAUGAGAGAGAGAGACGAGGGAGAAGACCGAGGCUAAAGUUUAUUUUUGUUUUUAUAAUAUUAUUAGAUUUUUGUUUUAAAAAUAUGAUAAUUGGUUGGGAGAGAUGAAGCUUUGGGAGGAGACAAGAAUGGUGUACUUAAAAAAAAACACAUUCCGGAUCUCGGACAUGUUACAACAUAUUUAUCCAUGCUUUAUAUUUAUGGUACAACACAUUUAGUUAUGAUUAAUAACGUUAAUUUAUCGAAGCGGUGAACAUAUUUUGAUUUGAAUAAUUGUAAUUUUCUUUUGGGUAAAAAAUAAUUGUAAUUUGUAAUGCCAUUUUUACAAGAGUUUGCAAAAGGAAACAAAGGGUAUCUAUCUUAUUAAAACUCAAGUACAAAAUUGGAGUGUUUGGAGACUUGAAUAGGACUAUUAAAAGAAUUUGGAGUGUUUGGAAACAUGAAUUGUAGUCUUUUAAAAAAACAUUAAUUUUGUUUGGAAACAAAGAUAGUAGUAUUAAGAAAAAAAGUAAUGGGCUUAUGUUAUUAAGAAAAAUUAAAAGUCCAUCAUAUUAUAAUAAACUAUCUAUCUGGGCCAGAUUUAAAAUAUACGAAAAUGAGUCAAUCUAAAUGCCUAAAAUUUUUUAUUUUCUAAACUAACCAUAAAACAAAAUUUAAACUUUAUACACAUAUUUCAAAUCAAAAUAAUAAUUUAAAGUUGAUUUAUAUCAAAAAUUGAUUAAAAAAUAAUACAUAUAUUCAAAAAUGAAUUUUUACUAAACUAUUUUUCAAUAACCAUUAUAAAAAAAUAUAGUCAAUAUAUAUAAUAAAAAUAUAAUACAAAGCCCAAUUUGAAAUACCAACUCAAAUUAUGGUUUUUAUAUUUUAUAUUAAGUUUUAAAAAUAUAAUAUAUAUAAUUAUUUAUAUGAUGGUACGUAUAAAAUACUAUUAAUUAUAUGAUUACUUAUAGGAUGGUCGUAUAAAAUACGAUUAAUUAUAUGAUGACAGUAUAUGAUAUAUAAUAAUGAAUAGGGAUGGGAUUUCGGGCACCCAUACCGGUUUGGUUCUGAUCGGUUUGUGUUUCGGGUUUUCGGAGUCAAAGAUUUAAGCCCCGUUAGGAUGUUUCUAAAUUUUGGUUUGUGUUUGAUUCGGAUCUUUGCGGGUUUGGUUCGCGUUUGGAUAAUCCAUUUAAAUUAUUUUAAAAGUUUUAAAUCAUUAUCUAUUUUAAAUUUCUCAAAAUCUAUAAAUAAAAUAAUAUAUUACCUAUAAAUUUGAAUAACAUAUGUCAGAAUACCUAAGCUUAACAUAUCAAUUGGCUUGAUUUAAAAUUUUGGAUACGGAACCAAUAAUUAUUUUAAGUAUUUUUGGUGAUUUGAGUAUACUUUAACUAUUGCAGAUAUUUACUUUUAACUAUCUAUAUAUAUAUUUUCAAUUAUUUAAACCAAUUUAAAAGUAUCAUUCUUAAUGUUUUAUAUACGUUAAAUCUAAAAAUAAUUAAUAUAUAUAUAUAAGUAUAUAAGUCUAUUUUUAGAUAAAUUCGGGUACCCAAAUACUUCGGUUCGGAUCAGAUUUGGUUCUCUAAAUAACAAAAUUUUGAAAAAUUUGAAUAUUUAAUCAAUUUAUGUUCGGGUUUGGUACUAUAUUUUCGGAUCGGUAUCGGUUCUGUUCCUUGGAUUCAUUUUGUAAAACCCUAAUAAUUACAUGAAAAACAAAUAUCAACAUAUUUUUCAAAAUAUACAUCCGCGCGCCUGCGCGGGUCAAAAUCUAGUAUACUUUAAAAGUGAGUGUAUAUGUACAACGUAUGUCUAACAUACACUUUAAGUGAGAUUUGUUUUUGUUAAUUGAAAGCAAAUAAAAGAAUUGUCCUAUUCAGAUAUUUAUACUUGUAUUGAGUGGAGUACCAAAUAUUUAUCAAGAUUCACGUGGUUCCAAUGAUAUUUUUGGACCAUCUUGGUCCUCUCCCCGUGGAUUUUUGUUAUUAUGGAAUGAGUAAUUCUUGGGUUCACCCCCUAGGGUGAACCUCUAGGUUCACCAACCAAUAGUGUUUGAGUAUUUGAUAUUUGAUAUCUUUUAAAAAAGGAAACAACAUUGAAUUUCCAAAUAAGAUUAUCUUUUUAAAAUAAAACAAUAAAAAUACAUAAAAAUAGUUACAAAAAAUAAAUAAAUAAAUAUUUUUAAGUCUUCAGCAAAAUACUAAACCCUAUACCCUAAAUCUUAAACCGUAAACCCUAAACCUUAAACUUUGGAUAAACUCUAAACGUUUGAAAAUCUCAAACCCUAAAUCAUACAUUAAAAACUAAAUUUUAAUAACACUAAACCCUAAAUCCUAAUCACUAAACCCUAAACCCUUGGGUAAACCCUGAACCCUUGGAUAAAUCAUAAACUGUAAAUCAAAAAUAUUUAAAAUUAAACUCUAGAGAUUAUGAUUUAUCCAAGGGUUCAGGGUUUACCCAAGGGUUUAGGGUUUAGUGAUUAGGAUUUAGGGUUUAGUGAUUAGGAUUUAGGGUUUAGUAUUAUUAAAAUUUAGUUUUUAAUGUAUGAUUUAGGGUUUAGGAUUUUUAAACGUUUAGAGUUUAUCCAAAGUUUAAGGUUUAGGCUUUAGGGUUUAAGAUUUAGGGUAUAUGGUUUAGUAUUUUGCUGAAGACUUAAAAAUAUUUAUUUAUUUAUUUUUUGUAACUAUUUUUAUGUAUUUUUAUUGUUUUAUUUUAAAAAGAUAAUCUUAUUUGGAAAUUCAAUGUUGUUUCCUUUUUUAAAAGAUAUCAAAUAUCAAAUACUCAAACACUAUUGGUUGGUGAACCUAGAGGUUCACCCUAGGGGGUGAACCCAAGAAUUACUCUUAUGGAAUGGGCCAUUUUAUCCUUGAUUCUGUGUAUGAUGAUGUAUCGAGUGAUAUUACACUAAUGGUGACUGAUUACUAAAUGUUCUUCGGACACAUUAAAUAAGUGUAAAUGUGUAAUUAAGCAAAAAAGUAGUUUUAUUUUUUAACCUUGUUGGAUUGAUGUGGUAAUAAGAAUUAUUUGGGUCGACCGUCAAUAUAAUACUCCCUCCGUUUUUUAAUAUAAAUCGUUGUAGAGAAAUUUUUUUGUUCCAAACUAUAUGUCGUUUUCGGUUUUCUAUGUAAAAUUUAUUAGUAAUUAAUGUUGUAUGACCAAUGGUAAUAUAUCUUUUAUUUUUCUAUUGGUUCAAUUGUGGUUAAGUAAAUAAUUAAUGAUGUUUUUGUUUAGAAAAUAUAAGAAAUUAAUGGUUUUCUUAAUUUACGUGUAUAGCUGUAAAACGACUUAUAUAAAAAAACGGAGGGAGUAUAUUUUUUUUUUGAUAAAAACCGUCAAUAUAACUGCCUUCAACUCUAUUCUAAUCAUUUGAAACCAUUUUUUCUUUUGAAACCAUUUUUUCUUUUUCAUAACUUCUUUAUAUUAACAGUACUAGUGUUAAUGAUGUGUGCAUGCCAUAAACUUGAAAACACGCACAUAUGUGUGUAUAUAUAUCACUUUCAUGCAUCACAUCCAAACCUUGCAACUAUUAGAAAUUGACGUAGCUUAUGGUGAAAAGUGAUUUUAACAACAAUGAAAAGAGAUAGGAUGUUACUACCAAUACCAUCCUACAAGAAACGUAGAUGUUAGUUAAAGUUCUGAGAAAUCUAUUGAAACAAUUGCAAAUUAAUGUAGUGCGUUAAAAUGAUAUAGAUUUCUCGAAUUUUCACAAACCUUAAUUAAAGUUCUGAGAAAUCGUUUUAGUAUUGGUAGUAGAGUCUCACUACCAGUCAACCAAUAUCACAUGACAAACGUAGAUGCGUCAAAAGAUUUCUUGAAUUUUCACAAACGUUAGUUAAAGUUCUAAAAAAUCGUUUUCUGUAAGAAAAAAGGUUUGUGAUUCUAGUUUUCCGUAGCUUUAUUUUUUCGGGCAAGGCUGUUCAAGGUCUGAUGAUUUACGUGCAUUUCUUCAAAAUAAACGACAAACAUAAAAUCAAAUUUCUUGUUUGAUAAAUAACUUUUCCACUCUAUUUGUACAAUUAAAUUCUCUCAGUUUUAGGAUUAUGUAAGGUUAUCAGCGAUAUUUCUGAAUUAUAUCAACUUAAAUGUUUGACUGUUUUGUAAUAUCAAUGGUUAUAUAUUAGGAAAAAAAUAAGAGCAUCUCCGAAAAAGAAUUCUAUUUUGAAGUUUUCAAAACUCUAUAUUUGAAGUUUAAAGGUAUUCUUCUUCAAAAACAAAACUUCAAACUCAACUUCAAAACUAUUUUCAUUUUAUAAUAUGGUAUUUAUAUUUGUCAUAGCUAAUUUGAAUUCAUAAAACUUUUGUAAAUAGCUAGCACAUAUAUAAACAUAUUACAACAAUAUUAAUUAAUAAAAUAUUAUAUUAAAAUUUAAAUUUUUAAGCAAAAUAACUUAAUUAAUAUUAAACUUCAAUAAAAAAAUCAUAUUAUUCCAUAAAGUGAUUUUCGUAAUGCAUAUAUGAUCUACUAGUGCAUUUCGAAGUAAAAAAUGGCUCUCCUCAUUUUUAAUUUGUAGAUUAUUGAUACAAAUUAUUAAAAUCGGGUGAUAUUAAUACUUGUAAAUACAUUAGAUCAAAACAAAAAAGUAAAAGAGAAACAUAAAAUAUUGCUAAAAAACUAACUUUUAUCGACGAUAUUAAUAUUCGUGAAUAUAUUCAAUAUGAAAAAGAAAUAAUUGUACGAAAAGACAUCAUCAACAACAAAAACCAUCUUCAGUUACACAAAAAAAUUGGACAAUAUUUGGAAAUUUUGAAGGUUCCGGAUCAAACUUACAUGACUAUUAGUUUUGUUGUAAUAUUUUAAUUUGUGUAAUAGUUAUGUCUUCAUGUAAUUUUUUAAAAGUUUUUUGGUUAAGUUUUUUUGUAUAUUUUUUUAUCUAAAUCUAGUUUUAAAUAUUUUAAAUCUUAUUUUAAAGUUUUAUAUAAUUUUAUGUGUAAACUUUAAUUUUUUAAACAAAACCUAAAAUAUUUAUAGGAUAUAACUUUUUUAAAUAUUAAAACAAUAAACAAGAAAAUGUUUAUGAAUCAUAAAUGUGAUGUGUAAUUGUAAGGACCAAAAUGCAAAUAAAAAUAUGAAACUUUAAAUUUGAAGUUUUGAAUAGAAAAACUUUAAAUAUAGAAUUUUACUAUUCAAAACUCCAAAUUUGAAGUUUUGAAAUUCCUUUUUGGAGAGCAAAACACUUCAUAUUUGAAUUUAUAGAGUGUUUUUUUGAGAUACUCUUAGUCUCCUCUUUGGGAUAUAGGUUUCGACCUAGCUAUAUUCCCUGCUUACAAAACCAAAGAGAAUAAACAAAAUAAAAGAUGAUAAAGCUGUUGUGAACUAUUAGCUCAAGAUAUAAAUGAUUAUGUAUAUACUUGUAUUUAUGGAGAAAAUAGAAUAAUAAUAAAGGAGAGAGUGAGAGUUGGUCGUGUGAUUGUGAUGAGUAAAGAAGAAAGUAAUCUUUUUAUUAUUGUUGUAUCUUUUUCAUUUUCUACGAAUAAGAACUUAACUCAGCUAUUUAUAGUGCAACAAAAUUACAUAGUCAUCAUCUCUUUAAUAGAGAACAAGAAACGUAGAGAAGACUAAGAUGAUGUUAUAACAGGACAUGUGUCCAAGUUGAAUAAUCAUUCUCUUUUGAUAUUUAUCUUCUAACACUCUCCCUUGAUUAUUCAUUUUAUAUUACGUAGUGCCUUGUUAAAAACCUAAUCAUGGAAAAAUUCAUUGGGACAAAAACCAUGACAAGGGAAAAAGAGUACAUUACCGUAAUCUCUCCCUGGAAUAAUGGACAUAGCUUUUCUUCAUAGGUCACGCAAAUAUCGCAUUCCGAUACCGUAGAUGUGUUUUCGGAAUGUUGUAGUCGGAAGAGCUUUGGUGAACAAGUCAGCCGGAUUUUUGCAUGACCGUACAUAUUAAAUGUCCACUUCUUUAUUUUUCUCGAGCUCCCUUAUGCACGAGAAAAAUCUUGGAGGGAUGUCUUUGUUCUGUCGCUCUUCAUGUAGCCUUCCUUGAGCUGAGCAACACAAGCCGAAUUAUCUUCAAAUAUUUUCGUCGGCUCUUUCUCGUUGACUAUUCCGCUUGAUUCUUGUAUGUGGUGACUCACUGACCGAAGCCACACACAUUCUCGACAUGCUUCAUGAAGCGUAAUAGUUUCAGCAUGAUUCGAAGAUGUCGCAACCAGAGUUUGUUUCUGGGACCGCCAAGAGAUCGCGGUUCCACCAAUUGUAAAAACAUAGCCAGUUUGUGCUCGACUUUGUAAAUAUCAUGUAUCUGCAAAACCAUACCAAAAUCGGGGUUCCUAGGAUAAAUUAAUCCUAAAUCAAUACGUACCUUGGAGAGAACGGAUAUGUUAUCGACGCCGUUCUAAUUUUCAUAAAUAGAAAAUGAGCUAUAUCUCGCAAAGACAUUAAUGUCUAAAAGUAUAUUUAAUCAAACACAACUCGCAAGAUAUAUAAGCUCAUAUAUGCUUUAUUACCAUUAGCAUCUCCAAAAUACUUAUUUAUAUAAGAUUUUACCAGGAUCUUUUAAAACAUCUUUUUCAACAUUGAGAGAUCUAUUUACUAUUGGAGUACUCAAAGGAGUCGUUUUAUCCAUACGAAAGCGUUUCAAUAACCUUUUCGUAUAGUUUGAUUGAUGCAUAAAAUCCCUUCUCGGAGAUGCUCUAUCUGGAGCCCAAGACAAAACUUUGUCUUACCAAAAUCUUUCAUUUCGAACUCCUCUUUCAUAUGAGUUCGAGCAUCAUCAACCUACUUUUGAGUUCCAUUUAUGUCUUGUUAGCUACAUAUACAACAAUGAUCACAAAGCCAGAUGACAAUUUCUUUAUAAAAACGCAUAGACAUAUCGCAUUAUUCACAUAUCCUUUACUCAAAAGAUAUUCACUUAAGCGAUUGUACCACAUGCGUCCGGAUUGCUUUAAUCCGUAAAGUGAUCGCUGUAACUUGACCGAACAAAUCUCCCUGGAUUUUUUUUUCAAUGCCCCUGGCAUUUUCAAUCCCUAAGGGAGUUUCAUAUACAUAUCGUUAUCCUACGAUCCAUACAAAUAUGCAGUCACAACGUCCAUGAGAUGCAUUUCAAAAUUUUUAGACGCCGUUAGGCUCAUCAAAAAUCUAAACGUAAUUGCAUCCAUUACCGGGGAAUACGUUUCCUCAAAAUCAAUUCCCGGUCUCUGAGAAAAACUUUGGGCAACUAAUCAGGUUUUAUAUCAUGUUACUUUUCUCACGAAUACCCACUUAUACCCGACAAGAUUUGUAUUCUCAUGUGUUAUGACUAUAAGUCUAAAGACAUUCCUUUUAUUUUGGGAGAAUAAUUCAGUUUGAAUGGCCUUCUGCCACUCCUCCCAAUCAUGUCUUUUAAACAUUCCAAAAUGGAUCUUGGAUCGGGAUCAUCAUUUUCAUGAUCAAUAUCUUUGGACACAGAAAAGGAGAACAUUCCAUCAACAUCUUUCAUGUUAUUUCUGAUUCAUAACUUUUCAUCUCAAUCGUAGUUGAUGAAAAUCUCUUACUUUUCUGUUCCCUUCUCGUCAUCUGGAUCCCUAUCUUUAUUUGGUUUUUCUUGAACCUUUUCAUUUAUGUCUUCUUUCAGACAUUUUUCAGUAUCAUGUUCUUCUGGAACCUUUCCACUUAUGCUUUUUUUUUCCAGACAUAUUUCAAUAUCAGGUUCUUUUGAAACAUUUCCACUUAUGCCUUCUUUCAGACAUCUUAUAAUAUCAGGUUCUUCCGGAACCUUACAACUUUUCUCAACCAAUAUCUUUCGGGGAUUUUUAUCUCUAGAACCCGCUAGUCUCCCCCUCUAUAACUGAACCCAAGGUUCAUUCAUUUUGUUACCAUCAGUUUGUUCUUUAGGAACAUCAACUCUUGAUGGAACAUUUUCAGCGGGUAUAUCAUGUCGUAUCUGUGAACACAUUUGGUAACUGGUUUGCCAAAUUAUGCAAAUGCACAAUUUUCUGAACUUCCAGCUCUCUUUGAUUUGUAGGGGGACCAAAGUGUAACAACGAAUGUGUACACCAUGUAAUUUAUUUAGGAAUUUCUCAAAUUCCUCUCCCUAACGCUGGAAUUCAUUCUCAUUAAAAUGGCAAUCGGUAAAUCAUGGCGUAAACAUAUCACCAGUUACCGGUUUAAGAUACCUUAUACACAGCUUGUUCUAACUCUUCUAGAGUUUUAUACAUUCCCGAGAGCAUUUUUAACUCUCCAGGGACUUCUAAAUAUCAAGAUGCAACUCAAGUCGUUCUUGUCCUACCAGACAUAUCAAUAUAUUGCAUCUAUUUUAUAUUUUCUCCAGUGACCUUGGAACAAGACGCUUUUCAUACCUCAAGGUCAUCUUUCAUUUCAUUCUUUGGAGAAAUAUAUACCUUGGACUUUUGGUCCAAAAAUCUCUCGUUAUUCUAACGAGCUUUAUAUCGAAUUGAUGGCCAAUCAAUUCACUAUACCCUCAUACAUAGAGGUAGAUUCAUAAUCUUUACUUUUAUAGUGCUUUUUCAUUUAUUGUCGACGAUCUAUUUUUUCUUUGGUUCUAUUUUAUUACCCGUACUGAUAUGGUUAAUCGAGAUCUCUUUAUCAUCGAUGAUUUACUCAGGUACCUGACUAUUAUAUUAACCAUAUCAACGGUCUCAUCAUGAGAUUCAUCCACUAUUCAUAUAUUUGCUCCUUUUCGAGGAUUCUUUUGAACCAAAGUGGUCUAUCAAGUCUUUAGCAUGCCAUAGACUCAUAUAUCGUCCGUUUAGGACACUAUUUUCUUAUUGGAGCAUUUUCAGCUGGAAUAUGAGAUUUCAUUAUUUCAUCACAAUGUCUGGCAGGUAUUUUGGAAAUGGAUUAUCCUACUUUUCAUUGUAAUCCAUUUCACAUAUCUCAUUCCAUCAGCUUAUCAUAUGCUUCUAGCAAACUUGCGAGCAUAUUUGUAAUUAUUCAUAUACUUUAUCCCUCUGGAUUGUAUAUGUCUUUAUUACAUGCACAACUGCAUGUUUACAUCCGAUCAUGGGGAUCAUCUUACUUGAGUUUAAUUUAUCAAGUUCUUUUUCGAGUGCGAACAUAAUUUUUUCAAUGUUCCACUUACUAGGAUUCUUUAAUUCUCUCUCUAGAGAUGAUGACACUCCAUGUCUAAAAUCUCGUACUGAAUCCCACUCUAGAACCAAUAACAUAUUCAGUUUUCCCAUUUGGGAUGAAUUAUGUUUCAAAUCCUUUAGAGUGAGAUCUAAAUUUGGGGUCUGCUUAAAGAAAUCACAUAUUGUGAACUUGUUUGAUGAUUCAUCACCCAUGAUGGUUUCCUUUAUUUUCUUGACAUCCUAUAUGUGAAAAACUUCUAGUUUUUCAGCAUUUCACAAUAAUGUUGAACAUUAUUGGAGAUGACUAUAUAUCAGUAAACUUCAGGUUUACCAUUCAUUAAUAAUUUUGCCAUCUUUUUCUUAUGCAUGUCUUUUCAUCAUAAGUUCUGCUAAAGCCAAUAAUAUGUUUAUAUUACUAGAUACUAUACUUAUUUAGUUUGAGAGAGGAAAGAUAUUUGUUACCUUUAGUAGUCAUGUACGAUGACUCAAUAUCUGCUAUGUAUAUCUAUCUCCAUCUUGAAUCUUAAAAUCUCAUUCAGAAAGAUAAUUCUCAUAUCACAUCGAUAUUUUAUUUUUAUUUUCUGGACCAACCAGAAAAUCUGAAUCAUCAAGAUGAGUAUUGAAGCUAUGAAAGAUGGUUCGGGCUCAUAAGAGACGAAGUUUAAUAUACUUCCUUUCUAUUUCUCUUUUUGAUUUUCCGUAUAGAUCGGCUAAAUAUUUGGCGUACGACAACUACAUACCCAAUUUUCUUUUUUUGGCCGUAUCUAUAGCAAACUUUUUUUGUUUGCUUUUUAUCACCCGACCACUUUCAUUUUUCGUGAAAGUUCUAAUUAUUUCACAUGGACGAAAUCUUCUUCUUCGUCCUCUUCCACGACCACGAUAGCGGCUUCUACCGCAUCCAAAUCCUCGUCCUUUUCUAGUAGGACUGACUUGAUGGUUUAGUAUCAUGAUUUUAUUUUUUUCAGUUUUCACGGAGGAUUUAUAUCAACUCCAACCAUUUAGUGAAUCCUUUCUUUCAAAGAUUUAUUUAUCAAAGAUCUUUCAGGUAUUUUCUCAUGAUACACCUCAUCUUAUAAACCAUCAUUGAAUUUGUGUAAAUAUCAUGGCUUUAUCUUUUUCUCAUCCGAUAUAGUUUCAACUUAUCGAUGAUUUCUCAAAGCUUAUUUUCUCUCAGUUGCAUCUUUGCACCCACUGCCCAAGUCUUAUAAUUAUUUUCGUAAUAUUAAGGGUAUUUAGUUUGAGCUUUGUCAAAUUUGACAUGAUAACCAUAUUCAUGGAAUAAUAAUAUAUAAAGACGGAAAUUUAAAUGCAUAAAUUAAAAGCAUAAAAUAAAUGCAUAAAUUAAAUUGCCGAAAUUUAAAGAGCAUAAAUAAAAUCGGGAGGCUCAGCCUACCACAUGAUCCGAGGAGUCAUUGACUACCAUAUUGAUCAUUUUUAUCAAGGUUUGAGGAGACAUGGUUUACCAUAUUAAUCUUUUCUUUUUAUUCAAGGUCCAAGGAGACUUAGUCUACCAUUUUUGACUUUUUUUUAUUUACGGAGGCAAAGCCUUCCACGUGACCCUCCUUUUUUUUCAAGUCACGGAGGUAAAGCCUACCACGUGAUCAUCUGAUCGUAAAUGCACAGCCUACCAUAACGAUCAGUCGGAGAAAGCAACGCCUAUCAUCCCGAAAAAUAAACGGAGAAGGACUAGCCUCUCACUCCGGAAUAAUAAUAAUAAUAUUUAAAUAAAUUAAGUAUAUUAAAACACAUAAAUUACCUCGACUGGUUUAAAAACUUUCGGAUUGAUAAACCUCAGUUGGUCAAAACUUCGUGCUGAUAACGUGUUGUGAACUAUUAGCUCAGGAUAUAAAUGAUUAUGUAUAUACUUGUAUUUAUGGAGAAAAUAGAAUAAUAAUAAAGGAGAGAGUGAGAGUUGGUCUUGUAAUUGUGAUGAGUAAAGAAGAAAGUGUUCUUCUUAUUAUUGUUGUAUCUUUUUCAUCUUCUACGAACAACAACUUUACUCAGUUAUUUAUAGUACAACAAAAUUACAUAGUCAUCAUCCCUUUAAUAGAGAACAAGACACAUAGAGAUGACUAAGAUGAUGUUAUAACAGGACAGGUAUCCAAGUUGGAUAAUCAUCCUCUUUUGAUAUUUAUCUUCUAACAAAAGCCAAUUAUUUAUGCAGCCGUGGCAUUUUUGGGAAAUGGAUGCAGAUUUUUUUUUUUUUUGACAAAAGGCAAGGAUGCAGACCUUUUAUCACAAAAUAUCCUAAUAGUUUAUAAAUUUUGAUAGUCUAGAAAACAACAUAUUAGUAUGUUUCAAAUAAUGACUAGAAGCUAUAAUUUAUACUAUAUUUACUUUUUUUUGAACUGCUUUAUUUACUUUUGUAUACUAUGUUUUAUCGACAAAAUAGAUACUAUUAACAGACCAAAAAAUAUAUAUAUAUAUAUUGUACGAAUUGUACAUUGUUCAAGUAUGCACUUAUGGAUAUGAUUACCUCACUCGAAUAUUUGUACCGAUCUUCAAAUUUUAUCAAUCUAUUCAGUUUUUUAUUACAGAAAAAUAAUUGAUUCUGUCAACGCUUCGUUAUAUUAGGCAGUAUUCUUUCGUUGUGAUUAUACAAUAUUACAAUGCAAAUAUAAAAAGCUCAAUAAUCUAUUCAUUUAUACGGCACCAAUCGAUUUUUUUUUAUCAGUAAACCAACCCACUUGAUUUCACUAGCCUAAAUAUAUGGUUUAAUAAUCCGAAAAUGUUGAAAAAAUAUAUAAAGUUUGAAUAUUACCAUAUGAAAUCAAUAUAUAUUUCUUAGUAUUUUUUUCUAAGCAUUUUUCCAAUUUAAAAGUGUGAAUGUUGGUAUGUUCAGUAUGUUUCAUAUAGUUGAUCCUUCCAAAUACCUUGCCUGGUGUAUGUUGGCUAAACGCAGAAAACAAAUUACACAUAUGAAAUAAUACUUCAUCCCCACAACUAUACGUAUUUACGAACGUAAAUAUAUUUAGCACAUUAACAACUAAAAAUCACUACAAGAAAACACAACUAUAACAACGAAAAUUAAUGAGGAAAUUUAAUCUUCGUAAAUGUACGUUGACUUUACGAUUAUCUUACGAGAAAAUUUAAAAUCAACGUUAGUUCGUUGUAAAAUAACGACAAAACGAUUUCUUCGUAAAAACGACGUGUUCCUCAUAAAUUCGACGUAACAAUAGCGUCUAGUUUACGAGGAAAUAUUUUACGUUUACUUAACGACAAAAUUUCGAGUCCACCAACUUUGUAGUUGUAACACGUUUUUUGUUACGGCUACCUAACUAAAUUUCGUCGUAAAUUUCUAGUAAACUUUCAACUAUCAGAUUCGAAAAUUUCAUAUAAAUAUAGAUGUUUGAACAUCAUUUUAAACACAACAACAAGAAAAAAAAUAAAAACGUGAAAGAAAAAAAAAGUCGGACUCCGGGAAUAUUUUCGAGUUGCAGAGGUGGAUGUAUAUGCACAAAGAUGCUAACGGGAGAAUGACGAAAUAAUACCUCGAAGGACUGUAGACAUUUAUGCAUCAAGCAGAUUCCACACCGCUCGCCCAAGAAAGCAAUAAGAUGUUCUAUCUUUGUCGUAAAUGCAACAAUUCGAAAUUGGCAAAUCGUGAAAAUGUUUGAAAGCAUUUAAUAAAUAGAGGUUUCACGCCAAAUUACUAUAUCUAGUUUCAACAUGGAGAAUGUUAUAAUUAUGAGAAUGAAGCUAGUAGUAAUAGCAAUUUUCAGGAAGAACCGGUUGAUCAUCAUUUGCAUAAUGAACAUAGUUAUCAUCAGGAGGAGCAAAUGGUAGAUUAUGAUAGGAUUCAUGAUAUGGUAGCUGAUGCAUUCGUAGCUCAUGAUGAAGAUGAAGAACCUAACAUAGAUGCAAAAAAGUUUUAUGAAAUGUUAGAUGCAGUGAAUCAGCCACUUUACAGUGGUUGUAGAGAAGGUCUCUCUAAAUUGUCAUUGGCUGUUAAAAUGAUGAAUAUUAAAACUGAUCACUAUCUAUCUGAAAGUUGCAUGAAUGAAUGGGCAGACUUGUUUAAAGAGUAUUUGCCGGAAGACAAUGUGUCUGCUGAUUCUUAUUAUGAGAUUCAGAAAUUGGUUUAUAGUCUUGGGUUGCCUUCGAAGAUGAGAGACGUUUGCAUCGACAAUUGCAUCGACAAUUGCAUGAUCUACUGAAGAAUCAGGUAUUAACUCAAACUCUUAAUUUUUGCAGGUGGAUCGAUCAAACUCUUUUUUCAUACAUGAUCUGUAUUUCAACGUUCUCUUUAUUUUUGCAGGUUGAUUAUGACGACGAAGCAGAUUAUCCUACGUGGUUUCACGAAGUAAUUCAAGCUCCACUUGCAAAGGUUACCACAUCACAUAUAUAUUUCACACGAAGCUAUAUUUUUCACACAUAUGAGUGUGGUAGACAGCGGGCAACCAGUAACUAUAGAAUAUGUGUGAAAGGCGAAACAUAUUUCUACGGGAUCAUGCAGGAGAUUAUUGAAGUCGAAUUCCUAGGGUUAUUGAAGCUGAAAUGUGUCAUCUUCAAAUGUGAAUGGUUUGACCCCGUCGUCAACAGAGGUGUUCGGUUUAACAAAUUCGGUGUAGUUGAUGUCAAUGGUGGACGAAUGUACAUCAAAUUCUUUUUUUGGCAUACAUGAUCUGUAUGAUUAAUUUCUACGUUGUCGUUAUUUUUGCAGGUACAACAAAUUCGAGCCUUUCAUCUUAGCUUCACAAGCAGACAAAGUUAGCCUCAUUCCAUACCCUCGGAUGAGAGAAUCGAGAAUAAAUUAGUUAGCCGUGAUCAAAGUUACACCUCGUGGACGAAUCAUCAAUGGAGAAGAACCACCAUUGAAGGAAGAACAGAUAAAUAAAGUCGAGAAACCUGAAAAACAAACUUAUGACAUUCCUUCUCAUUGAUCCUCAUAAUCAUGAGUACGAAGAUCUUACCGACGAUACCACAGACGAAGCUGUUGAAGACGAGUUUAAUGAAUAUGAUGAUGUUUCUAGUGAUGACGAGAAUGUCGAUGUAUCCGACUGAUGUAUUUGUUUUUAAUAUGAUUGAUUUUCAGACUUAAUGCAUGUGAUUUGAUGGAUUUAAUAAUGAAAAUCAAUUUAUAUAAUUUAAUUUUGUGUAAAGGUAAUGGGCAGUUUGAAUUAGAAAGAAGAGAUUGAGACUAUAAGUUAAGGAACUGUUGUUUUAUAAUUUGGGGUUUGGAAUGGAAAGAAGAUAUUGAGGUUAAAGGGAAGAUGGGUUUGGGGUUUGGAAUAUAUAAAGUAGAAGAUAAGAAAGAUGGGGUUUGGUGUUUUGGAUUUUAGGGAUUUAAACAUAAUCCUCGUUACUUCUUCGUAAACUAACGAGGAACUUACGAAGAAUCUUAAAAAUAAAGAACGUGGGACUUGUUAAUUCUGUGUAAGUAGAAUUCGUCAUAAAGACCUCGUAGUUGGAAAAUGCGGACCUUUGUAUUUACUCGUAAAUAAGAACAUGGGCCUUGCUAUUUCCUCGUAAAUUAACGAGGACGUUACAAGGAAACAAAACGCGGGCCUUUCUAAUUCCUCGUAAAAAAACGCAGGCCUCGCGAGUUCCUCGUAACUUUACGAGGUAAUUACAAUGAUUACUAAUUUCUUAUAUAUACACGCGAGCUUCUCACUUCCAUUUCGUCUUCACUUCCUCUUUUUCUUUCGUAGCAAUGGUACGUACUCUCUCUAUUUCCUCUCUAAUUUGAUUACUUUAGGGUAGAUUAGGUGGUUAGUGUAGGGAAUUCAGAUAGGUUUACGGAUUUUAUGUUAAUUAGUGUUGAUUAGAUGGUUAAUGUAGGGAAUUUUGCUAGAUUUAUAGAAUUUUUUAAUUAUAAAAUUUGUUAAUAACUUUUGAUGUUAAUUUUAAAAAAUAAAAUUUCUUUCCAGACGGUUCGACAGAACAGACUUACUCCCCAUUACAGAGAGAUGUUCGGGGAGCCUGGUAAUCGUUUAGACCCGUCUUCUUCAGCUCCCGGUCCUUCUUCAGCUCCCGGUUCUUCGCGUCCGGAGACUGUCCCCGAGACUCAAUCUUCUCAGAGAGUCUCUCGGUUGCCUUUUUCUGGUGCACCAUCGGUUCCUCGAAUCGUUGCACCACCGGUUCCUCAUGCUCAUGUCCCAAAGGUGCCUCCUCUGAUGGCUCCUCCGAUGCCGGCCAUGAUUAAUCCUGAUUUGAUGAUGCCGCCGAGUUCUCCUUACUCGCAGUACACGUUCGAGGACCUUCUCGCUCAGCCACAGAGAAGGUUUAUCAGUCCUAGACCCCGACCGAUCAGACGGAACUUUGUGUUAAGUUACAUUUUUUUAAAUUAUUUUAAAAUUCUUUUAUAACAAUAAUAAAUAAUUUAUACUUUAAAUUUGUUUUUCUUUUCAGGUUUGAGGUCGACAGAUGUGUUGCUUGGAACGUAACCGAGACGAUCAAAGGUUACUUCUCCGAGCCACAUCCGAACUGGAAAAAGACGCCGAUCUACGUCAGUGGUUCAAAAUUUUUGCUGUGAGUUACUAUUAAUUAAUUAUAUAUAGUUUAAUUUUUUCUGAUUUAGAUUUUUUAAUUUUUUAAAACUAACUCUUAAUUUAAUUUUUUCUGUUACAAUAAAAAUACCAUUGGUCCAUGGGGGUCAAUGAGAAGGUGAAGAAAACGUUUAACGCGAAGGCGAAAGCUCGCUUGUUGGACACGGUCUCUAACUGGAAGGGUGACUGGAUCGUGAAGGAGUAUGAGCGUGGCAAACCCCCUGAGCUCACCACGGAAGUGUGGGAUGGCCUCAUCCGGUAUUGGUGGGAUCCUGACUCCAUUAGAGUCGCUGAAUCUUGCUCUGCCUUCCGUCAGACGGUAGAUGAGCACGGCCACGAGCCGAUGCUUCACUCUACGGGUCAAAAACCCCACGCCGGUAUCCGUCUGGAUAUGGUAAUUCAAUACGGGUCAAGAACUCCCGUCUCUUUUGCAACUUUACAAGAGGAUCCACAAGAACAAGGAGGGCCAAUUUCUAGAUGCUAGGUCCGAGCAGAUCUUCAACGACUUGGUUGGUCGGGUUGAAGACAACCAGACCUAGCUGACCCAGCAGUCCACCGACGGAUUACCCGUUACUUUAUCCACACUUGAAGUGAAUAGGAUUUACGAGAAGUUAAAAAAUUUUAAUUUUUUUUUUAUUAUUCAUUUAAUUUAACUUUAACUUUUUACUAACAGUAUUUGUUUUUUAUUUUUAAGGUUGUCCCUAAGUAAAAGGGACGUACGUUGGGGAUUGGUUCCGUCAACGAUGUUCCGAGAGCGACAUCGUCUUAUGGUCAGAGACGGGAUGAUGAAGUCACUCACCUGCGUAACGAGUUGGACUCGACGCGAUCUGCGUUCACAGCUCUUAUGGGUGGAGUCGAGGGCUUCUUGGACGUUGUAGCGGUCACAAAUCUGGAAUGGGAGUCCUUGUUGAGGAACAUGCGAAGACAAAAUCCCAUUCCAGGCGAGUCAUCCGACACACAUGACGAGGCGGAUGUACAGAGGAGUGAGGAAUUCUACCGGUGAACGACCCUUAGUUCUUUUUUUUCUUUUCGUUGAUUCUAUUAUAAAUUCAAAACUUAUCUAUGUAUAAAAUGUUUUCGUAUUUACAUUAAUUUUUAAAUUAUAUUUUUAUUAAUUAAUUAAAUAUUUUUUUUUUAUUUUUUAUUUUUAAUUCUGGAAUAUAAAAAAUCGAAGUAAUUUCAAAGCUAAAUUACGACUACAUUGCGUGGAAAGUUUAUGAAGAAGUUACGAGGAAAACAUUUACGUCAGCACUACGAGGAAAGCUUAACGAGUAUUUUAUGUGGAGGAGUUUACGUGUAAUUUACAAGGAAUGACUUUCGAGUUAUUUACAAAAAAAUGUAGCGUCCUCCUUACGUGGAAAGGUUACGUGGUUUUGACGAAAAAUACUUUUCUUUGUCUUCAUGAUGAAAUAUGUUUCUCGCUAGUUUUCGACAAAUUGGCGAGGAAAUAUGCAUUACGAGAAACGAAUAACGAUAAAGCUUGUUUUCUCGCUAAUUCCUCGUAAAGCCUUAUUUACGAUGAUCUUACUACGAGUUUCGCCGUCGUUAAUGUUGUCUUUUCUUGUAGUUAAUGUGGAAAUAGUAUUAAUCAUUAUUUAAUCGUAUCAGUUAUUUUCAUCAACUACCGAUCACAUUUGUACCGUAUAUACUAUACUAACUAGUAGACCAAUCAUUCAGAAUCGAUACACAUCAUUUGAACCUCAUAACAAAUAAGCUUCGGGUUUUUGAUUAAAUAUUGAUGUAAUAUACCAUUUCAGAACACUUAAAUACGUCUUAAAAUAUGUUUUCUUCUCAGAUCAAACUAGUUGUACUACAUAUGAUGACGAUAAGAUGUGUUUGGUUUUUAGUGUCAACAAUAAUAUUUUAUCCUUUUAACAAAUUAACGAAUAUCGGAAAUAUUAAGGUUUAGAAUGGUAAAAGCAGUUCAAACGAUGCAGAUCAAGCGGAUCAUACAGAUUAAGCAGGAGAAGUGCGGAUCAAACGGAUCAUGCAUGAGAUAUGCAGAUUAAGCAGAUCAUGUAGGCAGAUUAAACAACUAUUAUAAUUUUGAAUGAUAAAAAUAGUUUAAAUAAAGAAAAUUAUUGUUUAAAUCAUAAAAAAUAUAAUAAAAUAUAUCAAAACAUAAUAUAGAAAUAUAACACAUACACAACAAUAAAUCUUGCACUGAAACCAUGCUACCGCAAUUUUGAAAUCAAUAUAUAAAUAAAAUAAUUUUAACUAACCUACAUAUUUAAAUUAUACUCCCUCCAUUUUUUUAUAUAAGUCGUUUUACAGCUAUACACGUAAAUUAAGAAAACCAUUAAUUUCUUAUAUUUUCUAAACAAAAAUAUCAUUAAUUAUUUACUUAACCACAAUUGAACCAAUAGAAAAAUAAAAGAUAUAUUACCAUUGGUCAUACAACAUUCAUUACUAAUAAAUUUUACAUAGAAAACCGAAAACGACAUAUAGUUUAGAACAAAAAAAUUUCUCUACAACGACUUAUAUUAAAAAACGGAGGGAGUAUUACUAUAUUUUGCAUAAUAGACAUUAUAAUUAAACACUCAUUGUAAAUAUAAUAACAGAUAUUUAACUAACCCACAUAAUUACCUUUCUACAAAAACCCCUCUUUGCUAAUUUAUAUUCAUAUAUAUAUAAAAUUGGAAGUUAAAGAAAUAAAUUAUACCUAAAUCAGAUAAACGAGAGUAUUUUUUUAAUUACGAAUUUAGUUAACUAUAAAUAUAGAAAAUGGUUUUUAAAUAAAGUGUAAGAUUAGUUAACAUAACCAACAUGAGUCCUCUUCUUUUUUUUUAUGUAUAGAAAUAGUAAGUAGUUAUAUUUAUAGAUGAUAAUUAAAUAUUUUCAGAAUAUUUUAGAGAAAAUUAUCUAUUGGUUAAAUAGAAAGUGGAACAAUUGAACAACAUUAAAAAUGGGGUGGGUCAAACUGCAUGCACAUGUCCUGCUUUUAUGCAGAAAAUAAUAAAAAAAAAACAGUUCUCCAGCAUAUUAUUUUUAUAAUUAAAAGAAAACAUGAAUGGCAAUAUAAAAACAGUUUUCCAGCCCAAGUGGAUGAACUGUCUUAAUCCCACUCUUCCAUUCAAACACUUAAACAUGAGGAGCAUGGUUUUGUCAGAAGUGUUUUAAGUAGAAUGGAAUAAAAUCCCCUAGCCAAGAACAAAAACGUGUAAUUUCUUUUUGUCAUCAACGCGUAAUUGCUUUUACAAAUAUAAAUGCAUGCAAGUGUUUUUUUGUUUAAUCCUCGGAGUAUCUUUGGAAAGGUUUAAACUAAUUCAUAAAAGGAUAUAUUCGCAUUUUAGGUUCUUAAAUGCGGCCUAAAACAUAAUUUAUAGCUGUGUGGCCAUACACAUUUAAUAUAGAAAGGUUACUUUGAAUACAAAUCACUCAGAACAUCUCCAAUCUCACUUUAUUUUCACUAUAAAAUAAAAUUUAGAGUCAAAAAUACUUUAAUAGUACUAUAUUUCUCACUCUGUAAUAGAGUAAAAACAAAUUUAUUUCAAAUAUAGAGUAACUUGUUUUUUUUGUUCAUCACUUUAUUUUCUACUAUAAAAUAGAAUACUAUUUAAGAAAAUUCAAACUCUAUUAUAAAAUUACUCUAUUUUCUAAUAAAAAAUAGAACAAAUCAAUAGAGAUAGUCUUAGCUUACCGGUCUACUCUACUAAACUAUCCAUGUAUGCUUAUGCUUUUUUAUUUUGCUAAAAAAUGCAUGCAAUUGCUUUGAAUUCCAUGUAAGAAAACUCCACCAAACAAGCGAGAAAAUCAUAACUCAAAUAAGAUGUUCAUAUGGUAUUUUCCGCAGUUAAAAAAACUGAAUUUGGUAUUGAGCUUUGACAUCUCAAUUAUUGGAUACAGCUUGAAAACAUAUUUUACUUUUCCCAGAUAAAGCAAAGACAAAAACGCAAUUAGCCAGAAAAGAAACAAAAACCAUAGGCUAUGAAUGUUUAUUGUGGUUGACAUGCGGGACGGACUGGACUGCAAUUAAGGUCACCAUUUAAACUAAUUAUUUGGAUAUAUGUGAUCUGAAGAUUAAAUAAUAUAAAAAAUAAAGUGGAGCACGGACGGUUUACAUUACAUAUGCAAAUUAUAAAUACAGCAAAAGAGGUGUGUUUCAAAGUGCGUUCUUAAUUAUUUGUAUUUUAAUUGAUAAUAAAAUAUUUUAAAAAUACACAUAAUUUACGGCACAUUUAUCUGAAUUUCAGAAAACUAGUUAUACUCUGUAACAUUUUUUAAAAAAUAAUAGUAAAAUAUGAUUUUUAUUUCAGUUUAUAAUAUAUUGUUUUGGUCACCUUUCACAUAUUAUUUUAAACCGCUUCUUUUAUCUGAACUGCAAUAUGUGUUUCUAUUAUAUCAACAGCAGUCAAACCACACUGUAAUAUCUAAUCUGCUUGUCUUGUACCCUAGACCGCUGUUACCAUUCGGAGCCAUAGUAGUUAAAAAAGUGAAUUUGGAUAAGAUGUGGUGAAUAAAUAAACUGGUAGAACAUCAGACAUGGUGUUCGAAAAGUGUAGCCAUGGAAAGUGUCUACAUGAUAGGUGAGCGAUAUGUGUGAUAGGUUCUAUUCUUAGCUAAAGGGUUAGACUUUUAGAUUAUUAGUAGACAGCUAAGCUGUUUUGUCGUUUAAUCCAUUUUUAGGACUUUGGUUUUUGGUUUUGCUUUUAGUCAAACCCUAGAAGCUCAUGCGCUACUCUACUACAUGUGAACUAAUCUUAUCAUAUUUUGUUAUCUUUUUAGUUACGUGUGCAUUUAGGCUUACAGAAGAUAAAUAAAUGAAAAUUGGAGGCUAUAGACAUGAAAAAAGAUAACACAAAGACUAGCGGUUUUACCUAACGGAUAUAUAUACGGCUUUAUAUAUACAUAAUAAUACUGUCAUACCCUUGCCAAUUAACCGGCUAACCUGCUAGAAGAUAAAUAAACAAAAAAUAAAAAUUUUACUGCCCAAAGUAAUUCGUUUCUUCUUCCAUUCCACACAACUUCUCCUUCUCACUUUCUUCGUCGGUAGUUUUCUGGAAUUCGAAAGGACCCUGCCGCUGAUCUGCUCCAACGGCUCGCCUCUGAAUGCAAUCAACUUUUCAUCUCCAUCGUCUUCCCUUGUAAUCGUCUUUGGCUUUACGGGCUCGGUGGUUCUGUUUUGUGUUACGGUUUCGGCGGAGGGGAGUAACACCGCCGGCAUCUCCAACUUCAUAGAGUAGCGGUUUUCUCAGAUCUUUGACAACGCCGUAAGUUCUUUCGCUUUCUGCUUCGUCUCUGUUUCUCUGAUUUUUUUUUCGACUUGUCAAAAUUAGGGUUUUUAAUUGUUAAGUCUGUAGCAUCGUUCCUGUUGGAAACCAUUGUUCCGGUUAUUGAAUUCCAUCGUCGCAGAUCGGACUUUCUCAAAUUGAUUUAGGGUUCGAAUUUUCCCGAGUUGUGUGAGGGUUUCUUAAAUUUGAAUUGUUUCAUAUCGAUGAUGCAAACUAUGUGGUGUAGUAAAUUAUACGAAGAUGUGUAGAAUAUCAUUGCUUAGAAUUAGCCUGUCAGUACACAUAGUAUGAAACUUCAGAUCUGGUUUCUAUUUAGAAUGUAAUAAUAUUUGUAUCCCUUCAACCAUUCCAUGUAGGAUAGUAUCACUUGCGAUAAUGUUUGAUUUGCUGCACUUUAUGUUUGGGUGUGGUUCAGUCUGAUGUUCUUAAUCUAAGUUAUGCUUGAUUUGGGGUUUUUGUCUCUGUGGUCCAAAGUUCAUGGUAUAGAAAUAUCGAUUAUUUUGUGGAAUGCAAUCUGCAACACAUAUAUGUUACGUCUAUGACCGUAUCUGUAUAUUUGGUUGCUAUGUGUCAUAACAAGUGGAAUAGUAUACGGUUCAUAUUAUUCCAUUUCACAUGGAACGUACAUUCACAUGAUAUGUUGUUCCAUUCGGUGGCCGGUUCUUUCUCUGUUUAACUCAUUAUUCAUUUAUAUAUUUUAUAUGACAUGUGAAACAUCUUCACUCUUUGCCUCUCUUACUUUUCAUCCUUCAGGUUUGGUAUGGACGAGUUAGAGCUUCCAAGUAGAUUGUUUGAGACAGGCUGUGAACCCACUGGCAAGAAAAGGGUUAACAACUAUUUCAAUCUCCGAUGGAUUGAAGUGAUAAGGAGUGCAUUAGAGGAUGAGGACCUGACGAUGUUGAGUGCGUCACAGUUUGGCCAAGUACUUAAGAUGGGGUCCCAUACCUUCUCGGUUAUGUUUCUUCUUACAUUCUUACACGACAGUUGGUCACUGAGAAGGACUUCAAACUUUGGUGGCUUUUCGUGGGGAAACCAAUUCGUUAUGCUAUUCAAGACUUUGCACUUGUAACUGGGCUCAAUUGUGGACAAAUAGUGGUUGUUCAUCAUCAGGUGAAGGGUAAAGGUGUGCGUGGUAAGGGAACCGGAAAAUUGAAAUUAUCGAGCGCAUCUCCGUCAAUAUGGGAUGUUCUGUUUGGAAGGGAGGAUAAGCCCACCACUAGCUGGAUAAUUGACCGCCUUGUGAAGAGAAAAAAAUAUAAGGACCCGUUAACCCGUCUCCGCUUGGCCUUGUUGGUGCUGGUUGAAGGUAUUUUGUGCCCCACAAGUGGCACAACGAAUAUCAGACCUGAGGUUGUGUGUAUGCUGGAUAAUCUGGAUGAGUUCCUAAACUAUCCAUGGGGGCGUGAGUUAUUGCUCGUCACGGCAGUACAAAAUCUCGUCCACCCAGUCAUUAUGUGUUACAUGACACAAUGGCCAUCCAAGGAUUUUCGCAUGCCAUAGUUCUUCUUACAGUUGCUGCUUGCCACUCGAUACUAUUUAAACCGGGAGCAGUUACCCCCAUGGAUGAUAAGUCUAAAGUCAGUGAAGAUAUUGUCCAUGAGUUGCUUGAUUGGAAGUUCAGCGUGAAUGUCGUCUGAGCCAAAGCUGUCGACCAAAAGGGCCAGGUAUCAUUUUAUAAGUGCUCUCUCUAUGUUACACUCUUUAUCGUUCGUAUUCGCGUGUCAUUUGUUUUUUUAAGUGAUUUGUUUUUGUAUUUUGGGGAAUAUCUAGUGUAGUAAUUUUGCAGAAGACUUGUGGAAUAUCAUUUCGUAGUUGUGCUUUCUUUAUCACAUAGUAUGAUUUUCCCAAUCUGGUUUCCAUUUGGAAUGUAAUAGUUUGGCUGCCUUAGAAGGAGAGGAAAGAGAACCUCUAGGACUACAAGCAGUAAGCCAAGCUGGUUUACUUUCUCGUAUCCGAGAAUAUCAAAUGAGAGAUGUGAACCUGAAGAAGAUACGAGAGCAGUUGAACGAAGGAAACAUCGGAGGAUAUCAAGUUGCAAGUGAUGGAACUUUGUUACUCAAUGGUCGAGUAACUGUUCCGAAAGGAGAAGGACUUCAAGAGGAGAUUCUAAGGACUGCACACCAUUCUCUCUUAAGCAUUCAUCCCGGGAGCACAAAGAUGUAUCGAGAUAUCAGAAGAUAUUACCACUGGCCAGGGAUGAAGAGAGAUGUUGCCAUAUGGGUUUCUCAGUGUCAAAGUUGCCAGAGGAUAAAAGCUGAACAGCAAGUCCCAGGUGGCUUACUUCAAAGCCUACCUAUCCCUGAAUGGAAAUGGGAUGCAGUAGCGAUGGACUUUAUUUCUGGUUUACCUCGAGCACCCGGCCGUGGGAAUGAUGCAGUUUGGGUGAUUGUCGAUCGUCUCACCAAAUCUGCUCAUUUUCUACCGAUGAAACUUACAGACAAAGUUGAGACGUUAGCAGAGCUGUAUUUGGAGGAAAUAGUAAAGCUUCAUGGGGUACCAGCAAAUAUAGUUUCAGACCUAGACCCGCGCUUUACAGCUGAAUUUUGGCGAGCCUUUCAACAAGCCUUGGAAACUGAUUUGCAUAUAAGUACAGCGUUUCAUCCAGAGACCGAUGGCCAAACCGAAAGAACCAUUAGAACUCUGGAAGAUCUGUUAAGGUUGUGUAUCUUAGACUGGAAUGGUCCGUGGGAAAAGUUUUUGCCGC